UAACAUCUAUGUUCUUUCUCCCCCCAACCAUUUCAAGCAACAGCAUUCCAAAACUAUAAACAUCAGACUUAUAUGACACAUUUCCGAAGUUGCGAGACAGUACCUCGGGUGCAAUAUAGCCCAUGGUACCUCUAGCUGUUGUCAUUGAAAUAGCACUUUGUUCCUUGGAACACAAUUUAGCAAGGCCGAAAUCAGAGAUCUUAGGAUUGAAAUUGUGAUCAAGCAAAAUAUUGUGAGGUUUGAUGUCGAAAUGGAGGAUACGUUGCUUGCAACCUUGAUGCAGGUACUCGAUGCCUUUGGCUACGCCGACAGUAAUAUCCUGAAGUUUUUCCCAACUAAGGGAUCGAUCCUUGCCCUUGGCUGCAAAUAUUAACUUUUCUAAAGACUCGUUUGGUAGGUAUUCAUAAACGAGAGCUCGGUCAUAUCCAUCGGCACAAAAGCCAACCAAGCGAGUCACAUUCACAUGGUGGAUUCUGCCCAUCGAACCCACCUCGUUGAUGAACUCUUCACCAUUUCCCUUGAAAUUAUUGAGUACCUUGAUAGCAACUAAAACAUCACUGGAAAGUCUGCCUUUGAAGACAGUUCCAUAGCCUCCUUGUCCCAGUUUGUCCUUGAAAUGAUUGGUUAUCCUUUUAAUAUCAGCAUAGGAGUAUCUUGAGGGUUUAAACCCUUUAUAAUCUUCCAAAAACUUUUCAAUCUUGACUUUCUUUCUCCUUUUUGUCUAACCGAUAUCUCCACCCAACUGCAAUGGCAAUGGUUGCAGCAAUUGAAGAACCCAACACAAUACCUGCAAAUCAGCAUACAUCCCUCUGUUAUAUCCUGUCUUAAAUUAUUGAAGCUAAAAGGGAAAUUCCAUUUACCUGCAACCAUUAGCCUUUCUCCCAAACCUGCCAAACAUUUAAAGUUAUUCAGCUUUGAUACAUAGGAAAUCUAAGAAAAGGGCUCACUAUAAGUUUACAACAUUAAGCUUCACGUUGAUGCAGGCUAAUGAAUUUUUUAACGUACGUUGUACAAUUAUAAUAGUUAAAACAUACCUAUAUGGUGCUUGGGGAUAUAAAAACACUCGGUUUGUUCCUAGGUGCUAUUAUUGAACAGCUAUUAUUGUUGUUCAAUCUGUUGACACCAUUUUUUUGAUAGCUGUUGACACCAUUUUUUGAUAGCUGUUGACACCAUUUUUUGGAUGAAAAACGGGGUCGACUUGGAUUUUGAAAACGAAAACGGGAGUCGCCACCAAUCUUUUUUUUUAUGAGGUGUGAUUGGAUCACCUCGAAAAGGGUUUAAUAAACGGUUUGAUUUUAUUAAAACAACAAGUUUGGUCCACGAAAUUCAGAAAAAACGGGUUCGGGAGUCGGUUACGCACGAGGAAGGAUUAGCACCCUCGAUACGCCCAAAAUUGGUAUCUAGUUGAUUACUUAAUGUCUUAGUGUCGAAGAGUGAAAACUUUGAAGAAUUUAAAAAUACAAUCAUUGUAUUAAAAAGUUGAAAAUUUUCAGGAAAAGGGCAUGUUUUACGUUAUUCGAGAAAGAGAAUCAUAUCCAGUAAGUUAGGAAACAAUGUCUCAAAUUCUCAAUACGCGAAUAAAAAAUGCUUAUUUAAAAGAUAUUUAAUUAUCUUGGAUUUAAAAAGGGAUCACGACCAGUAAGUUAGGACACGAUCUUUUUUUUUAAUUCCCGAUAUUGUUUAAAACUUGAGUUUAAAAAAAAUUCGUGUAAUAAAGUUUAAAAGAAUAUUUAAUUGUUUAAAUCAAAUGAAGAAAUCGCAACCCAGUACGUUAGGGCACAAUUUCUCAAAAUAUUAAACAUUGAAUAUUGCAUUUAUUUCGAAAAAUCCUCGUCUCGAGAAAACAACGUGUCACAUCCAAUGCGUUAGGAUACAACGUAUUGAAUUCUUGAUAGCGAGCUUUUUAUCAUUUUUUUAAAAGAGUAAUCUCGAUUAUUUAAGUUCAACGAAGAAAAUCGAAACCCAAUACGUUAGGGCUCAAUUCUCUCGAAGAUCCCAAAUACCGAGUAUUACUUAUAUUUUUUAAAAUUUUCCGUUUUUUAAUAAAUCCGAGUAAAGUGGAUGCAAAAUAAUGAUAAUGAUGAUGUAAGUAGAAUAACAUGAUCAAAAUAUAAAUAAAUAAUAAGACUAAUAUAUAAAAAAAACGAUCAAGCAAACACAAUAGAAAUAAUAAAUAAAAAACUAGAGCAUAAUAAUAAUAUACAUGUAAAUAAAUAAAUAAAAUGAGUAAAAUUAUAAAAAUAAAAAAAGAUAUAUAUAUGUACGUAUGUUAGAAUUAUAAAGUAUAUAAAAAAUAUGUGUAUGUAUGUAUGUAUGUAUGUAUGUAUGUAAGCUAAAAAAAUAUUUAUAAAGAGAUAUGUAUAUAUAUACAUAUAUAUAUAAUAAGAUAUAUAGAUAUAUAUAAUAAGAUAUAAAGAUAUAUAAAUAAAUAUAAUAGUAAUAACAAUAGGAUAAAUAUAUUCGAAAUUUAAAUAGGCAAAUAUAAAAUAAAAUAUAACAAUAAUAUUAAACUAAUGGUAUAAUAAUAGUAAUAUAUAUAUAUAUAUAUAAGUAUAAAUAUCAUAACUAAAUAAUAAUAAUAACAAAAUGGACCAAAUUGGGAUAAAAAUAAAAUUUAAGGGCACUCAAACAGUAAUAAAAUGCGCAAAUAAGGACCAAAAUGGAAAGGCGUGAAAGGGCGAAGGACCUAAUGAAAAAUAAACCCAGUUUCAGGCCACGCGUCCCCUCCCCAAGGGUGCAACGAAUUGAGGACCAAAUUAAAAAAAAGGCAAAUCCGUGGUCCAAAUUAAAAGAGGAAAAAAAAUGGUUCAAAUUGAAAAAUACCGAAAAUGCAGAAGGGCCUGAAGCGCAAAUAACCCCUUGAUAGAAAACACGCGGAUCCCCUGAGUUGGGUCGGGUCGACGCGCGGGUUAUGGGGUAAAACGACGUCGUUUUGAGGCCAGAUGAAGCUGGCCAAAACGGCGUCCUUUUCAGGCGCUAUAAAAACCAAAUUUUGUUUCAGAUUUCCCAUUUUCUUCACUUUUCUUAAAAAAAGAAACUCAAAAACUCUCUCAAGCCCUUUUGGGCAAUCCGAUUUCCGGCCUAAGGUCUGGCUGUCGGCCACCGCGCCUUUUACCGGUCGCCGGCAAUGGCACCGCCUUCCGCUGUGGCCGGAAAAAUCAAAAUAGCCCACUUUGUCCCCUUUUUCGAGUAAGGUUCGUAUUCUAGGCUAGAAAAGCCGAAAUCCCAGUGAAAAGAGACCGAGAAUGGAAGAAACCCUUCGGUUGUUCUUCCUCUCCUCCGCCGAAAUCAGGUAAAACUCUUCUCUUUUUUAUUUUAUAUAUUCUUAUGUAUAUUGAAAAAUGAAAAUGAAAAGAGAAAGAAACAAUGUAGAAAACUGAAAUAGAACGAAAAUAGGAAAAAGGAAGUCGGAAAAAUCAAAGUAAAUCACCUUCUAAAAACUUUUUUAUUUCUUCCAAUUUUUUUUUUCAAAAGCCGGAAAAAAAGCCCCUUACAAAGAUGAAAUUCGGCUAUUUAUAGCCCAUUACAACCAAUUUUUUACAAUUUCUACUGUCGUUGUAUUUGUUGUUGCGUGUGUAUUCUUCCUUGCAGGUGCCAGAGGAGUUGGUGGAGCAGGUGAGGCCGUGCGGCGCUAGUCAGAGGAACGGUGGCGGUAGUUGGGACCGAAUACCCUAGGUGCGGCGCACCUAGGGUUAGGUUUUUCUUUCUUUCUCUAUUUUUUUUGUUUAUUUUGGGCUGAUUUGGUUGUAAUGGGUUUUGGGUUUAUUUUGUUGGGCUUCGGGUUUUGGUCUAGGUUAAUUUGAAUUAAGUUUGGGUAUUGGGCCGGGCAAAAUAUGGGCUUCACACAAUCUACAUCCCCUUCCUUGAGCUUCACAAUCACCACAGUCAGGUUUAUACCAACGUAAUUGAAAACGGAUACCGUAAGGAGAAAUGGGUGUUGAAAAGUUGCCAAAGUAGCUGCAAUUCAACAGGUUGAAUCCAUAAUAAUAGUCAUCAGAAGUAAAAGCUAUAAUUUGGGAGCCAGGGGUGCUUAAGCAAGCGACUCUAUAUCUUUUUUUAUACAAAGCCUUCUCUUGGCUUGAACAUUCAAACAAGGUAUAGUUGGAUUCAGCUGGUUGGGAUCUAUAAACUUUUAGGCGGCUGAAACCUGGUUGUUCCUCCGCGAAUGGAAAGGCAGAUAAAUUGAGAUAAAAAAGCUGCUUCCAGAGGCAACGGCCGGGAACGUACAAGUCAAUCCGCUGAGCUUCAUAAUCUAUGUGCUUCACCAACAGCUUCAGCGAACGUGGUAUCCUCAGCAGGGUCUGUUUGUUUUCUGAGCAGGAAAGCUGAAACCCAGGAUGAGGAUAGCCGCAGUGGGGUGACUGCUGGCCUUCUAAACGAAAGGGGAAACGGACAGGUGGAUCCUGGUGGUUGCACCGCUGCACCUUGCAGUCGUCUUGGAUUGGCACUGCUUCUGCAACAUUCACAGCUAAGAUAAAGCAGAAUAACGAGUAAAUUAACAUUGUUCUUACUAACUUGUGAGCCCCUGAAGUGAAACGGGCUUUAAAUAGUUUCAUUGACAUAGGUGGUUCAGCCCUUGAGAGUUCCAAUUAUGCACGCAACGCAGCUGCUGCUUUACUAUAUAGAUUUGUCUCGUUUAACAGGGUCUUCAACUCUUCGUCCUCUCUUUGUCCUCUUUUAUGAGUAAAUGUUGGACAUGUUUGAUUGUUAGCAACCCUUUCUAAUCUUGUUACUAAUUUUCUUUUAUUACCGUUAGUUGUAGUAAAAUUUGAGGAAAAAACACUGAACAUGAGAAUGAAUACCGAUUUGCUGUUGUGAUCAUAGUGGGGUUAGCUUGACUGACUUUUGUUUUUCCACCUUCGUUUCACUACAUUUUGUUUGGUAUGACUAAGAAGUUGACUGACUUUUAUGGGUUCUUUUUAAUGUCUAUCGUUUCUUUUCUAAUGUAGGUGGUUUUUUUCUCACUUUCUUUUUUUCUAAUUUAUCUUUUACUUUUAAAAAUGGCAAAACUCGAAUCAUAUGUUUUUAAAUUACUUAUACAAAUUUUUUAAAAGUGGAUACAAGACAAUGAGAUGAUUUUUUCCACAUGAGUAUGAAACAAUUAUAGUCAUUGUUUGCUCUACUCACCCUAUCUCGAAAUAAUCUUUUACCUUUCUUUGUAUAUAAUUAUUAAAAUGAUAAAAAUGUAAUAAUAUAUUAUAGAAAAAAUUCAUAUGUUUUAUACUUAUAUUUUUUAAAAAUUAUGUUUAAAUAUUUACUUGUCUUAAAAAAAGUAAAAUUAUUAAAAUAACUAGAAAUAAAAAUUAAAUUAAAUUAGAGCGAAGCAAGGUGAGAUGGGAUGGGGAUGGAUGCUUCUAAUAUCUAUGCGGUGAUAGUAAUUUUUCAGAUUAUACAUCCAACACAAGUAAAAAUUCAUAUGCAAGGAAUCAAAAUAUCAGUCCACUAAGCCAAUAAUUUAAUUACAACAUUAAGAUAAUUUAAAACGUAACGAUUACAAACUAAUUUUUUAAAUGUUGGUUGCUUAAAACGUAAGGAUCACAUGCACUAUAAACGUAAGGACCACCGUUGAAAGCCAUGCAAAAAUCUACAAUUUUAUAUUUAUAUGUACAUAUAUACAUAUACAUAUACACGUAAACACUAUAAAUCAUGCCAACCAUUAACAAAGCCAUGCAAAUAUUUAUAUUUAUAUUUAUAUAUUUCAUAUAUUUAUACAUUCACAUGCACAUAACUAAAUACGACAUCAUGCAAAUAUAGUUAUGUACAGAAUAUUGAUAUAUUAUCUCAUUAAUUUUAAAAAUAAACAACACCAAAAGACCAAGCUUUACACUACUCACACGACAUAACAUUGGGUUCACGAAUCCUCAAAGCACUACUCCCUCUGGGCUUUCUAUUAACAGCAACCUCCUUUGUCUUUAUUUGGUUGUGGCUUCUAUGCAGAUUAGACGAGAGGCUUCAAUGGAUGAUAUAAAAGAGGUGGUGUUGGUCAGUGUUGGGCAGAGGUGGCCUGAUGUCGGUGCAAGGAGAUCAACGGUUAGGGACGAGGGUGACUGUGGAGCGAUGAGAUGUUGGGGCGACGGAAGAACUCACGAUGGCGGUGAUAGGGCGGACAAUGGUGCAUUGAUGGAGAUGACUCCAAGGCAGCGUGAUGAAAGGGAGGGACGACUUGGGGCAGUUGGCUGACGGUGUGGCGACUAAGAGGAUCGGUGCUUAGUGAUGGAAUGAAGGAGAUAAUGCCUGACGUUGGGGAGUGAAAGGUGGUAAUCAGUCUUUUAUUAGGUUUGAUAGUAGGAAAGUUUGACCAAAUGUAUUCAUUCUUUUUUAGUCAUAACUCUGAAACCUAAUUGAUGAUGAUGAUAGAGCACACACACCUAAGCCACCACUCUCUCGACUAAGUACAGUUUUUUUUGUUGCUUUUGAAAAUUGUUUUUAGAAAAUACCUUUAAAAAAUACUUUUAAAAAAUUUGAAUAUUUGGUAUUGCUAUAAAAAAAUAUGAUAUUAUAAAGUAAUAAAUAUGUGUUUAAAUAAUAUUCAAAUUAGUUAAUAUUAUGAUAUUUUAGCAAAAAAAUAAAAAAUAAUUUAUUAUAACUUAUUGUUAAUAUUUUAAUAUAUAAUAUUAAUUUUAAAUAUUUCUAAGUAAUUAAUAUUAAUUAUUUAUUAACUUUAAUUAGAAUAUAUAAACUAUAUUUAAAUAUUUAAAUAUAAUAAUUAAAUAAUUGUAAUUAGAUAUUGACACAACUGUAUUAUUAUAAAAAUUAUUUUUUAUUUUUAAUUAAUGCUUUUAACACAUUUGUAUUAUUUUAUUUUAAAAUGUAUUUGAAUAUAUAACUCAUAUUAGAUAUUAACAUAACAUAGAAAACAUAAACCUAAAAAAUUAAAAUAUUACAUAUAUUUGGAUUAAAGUUUUAAAAAGGGAUAAUAUUUAUAUACCAAAUAUAAAUACUAAAAAUUUUACAAUAGCAUUUACAAUUUAAAGUGAAUUCAUUAAACUAGAAGCUAUAGCAUCUCUUGUUAAUUCCAUUUCAAAACCACUUGAAUUGUUUGAUUCACUGUCAUCAUCACUAUCUUCGUCGUCGUCGUCAUCAUCAUCACUUUAUCGACCAUGCGCAUUUUCUGAAUCAAUAAUUGUAAUAGCCCGAUUUUAGGCUUAGUCGGAACAGUGGUUUCGGGACCACAAAUCCGACGAAAAAAAAUGUAAUGGCUUGAAUUUUCAGAGGUGUCGGAACGGUGAUUCGAGAUCACUAAAUUCGACAAAUGGGUAGAAAAUAUUAUUAAUUUAGUAAGUAUAAGUUAAAUAUGAAGUUAGGAAAAUUUUUGAAAUAGUGAAUAGUGCACUAGAAAUAAAUAUUAAAAUAAUUAGAAUCGAAAUGAGGUAUCAAGACCUCGGGGAUUUUAAACUGAGCCAUAAAUAUUUUUAUAAAUAUUUAUGGAGUGUUAAAAAGUUAGUAUUAUAGUUUCGUUAAGAAAUUUUAAAGUUCUGAUAAUUAAUUGAACAAAAAGGACUAAAUUGUAACAAAUGCAAAAUUUUGGGAAAUGAUUAAAUAGCUUAAAUGAUAAAAGGAAGAGGGCUUAAAAGGCAAAUAGACCCAAGGUCUAUUUGGGCUGGACGGCAGAGGCAUGAAAUCAGCAAGAAAGAAAGGAGAAUUAAGGGAAAAAUUGGAAAAUUGCAAAAUUUGCUUAAUAAAGUUAGGACCCAAGUGGAAUUAUCUAGAUUUCUCUUCAUUUUUUUGAAUUCUCAUCAGCUAAAACACCAUGGAAGGGCUUCUUCAAGCUGGUUCUUCAUAUUUUUAUUACAAGUAAGUUCAAUUCUUGACUAUUUCUUGAAAUUUUUGUAUUUUUAUGACUUUUACAACUAGGCCCACUUGUUAAAUCCAUUAUUUUUUGAUUUUAUGAAAGAAGUUGAAAGUUGAUAUGAAUAUGUGCUGGAAGUAUAUGAUGAUUUAGCAUGAAAUUAGAGCUUUAAAUUGUUCAUAUGCUGAUUUUAUUGAAAGAAUUGAAUAGAAAGUGAAUGUUUGGGACCUAAUAGUAAAAGAGUUUGAAGAUAGAGUUAUAUGUGGAAAUUCUGAAUUUCAAUAGUUGUGUAACAACUUAUAAUGUCUAGUAAAGUACUAAUUGAGAAAAUUAGAUUAAUUGAGGGGUUAAUUGAGAAAGGACCGAAUUGUAUAAACUGUGAAAUUUGGGGCAAAAUGGAAAUCAACAUUUUGCACUAAAGCAGUUUUGGACAGCAGCAGUAGUGUAACUUUGAAAAAUCACCAAAAAUUGUAGAGAUUGAAUUAGAGGAUGAAUAAAAUAUGAAACUAAAGCUUAUUGAGUCUAGUUUCUUAUAAAAGAAAUGAUGUGAGCAAUGGAAUUGUAAAUCAUGAGAUAUAAUAGAUUUUGUGAGACAAGGUCAGAAUGAAUUCGGGUUCCCCUGUUCUGACUUUGGAAAAUCAUUAAAAAUUGUACAAAAAUGAUUAUGAGUUUUAGUUUAUAUGGUUAGAAUCCUUAAUGAGUCUAUUUUUAGAAGAAACAAGCUAAAACAUCAUCCGAAUUCUAUACAAUGAGAUAAUUAAUUUUUAGUGAAGAGUGGUUGGAACUGUCAGACAGCAAAACAGGGGAAACUUUAAAGAAUAAACUGUACUAUUUGGCUGAACCAAAAAUUAUGAAAAUUUUAUGGUAUUAAGAUAUGUGAGUCUAGUUUCAGGGAAAAUUAACGGAUCUUAAUUUGGAGCUCUGUAGCUCCGGAUAAAAAUAAUUUAGUGACUCUGACUCGGAUAAAUAGCUUUGAAUAUACAUGUUAGUGAAUAUUGAAAUUAUGGUUAAUGUUGUUUAAGUGUGUUAUACACAUUAAGGAUGUGGAAUGGAGAGGAGGAGGAGGAAAAUUGGGAAAUAUAUGAAUGAUUCGUGUAUAAAUGGUCAUAUGUUUGAUUAUAACUCAUAAACGAUGAAAUAUGAAUGAUGCUUAUUUUUGUGCAUUAUUGGUCAUGGUUUAAGCUCAUGUGUGAAAAUAAAGUUUCAUAGUAUGUGUGUAUGGUAUAUUCAGUAUAUGAUUUGGCAUGAAAUAAUACCAUGAAUGGUUUAUGAAUUAACACAUGUUGGUAAGCCUGAUAUAUGAAUAAAUGAUCAAAUUGAGCGGAACGCCGGAUUUGAGUACUUCUGAUCAAGUGACAAAGUGAUAAGUGGUAGCUUUAGCUACACUUAUCUGAUCAAGUGACAAGUGGAAAGUGAUAAGUAAUAGCUUCGGCUAUACUUAUCUGAUCAAGUGACAAAGUGAUAAGUGAUAGCUUCGGCUACACUUAUCUGAUCAAGUGACAAGUGAAAAGUGAUAAGUGAUAGCUUCGGCUAUACUUAUCUGAUCAAGAGACAAAGUGAUAAGUGAUAGCUUUAGCUACACUUAUCUGAUCAAGAGACAAAGUGAUAAGUGGCUACACUUAUCUGAUCAAGAAACAAAGUGAUAAGUGGCUACACUUAUCUGAUCAAGAAACAAAGUGAUAGGUGGCUACACUUAUCUGAUCAGGGACAAGUGAUAAGUGAUCAUACGUAAGACCAUAGUUAUACUAUGGCAAAGUGAAAGUGAAGUACUCAAUUUUCCGUGACCGUUCCGUAAUUUGAUUAAGGAUGGUAAGUGACAAAUGGGCCCAAAAGAAUUAAAGUAAAUGGAUAAGUGGUAGUGUAUUUAUAUCAGGACGAUGUUGUUAUUCAAACUAAAGUGAUAUUUUCAUUGCUAAAUUGAGAAUUUCAUAAAUGUGUUAUUGAAUGGUAUAAUCAAUAAACAUUGAGUUAAAUGGUAAAUACGUAUUAGUUUUGAAUUUGAUGUCAUUGAAUUGUACGUGAAUUAAAUGGAAAUUGCUAGUGAUAUGAUUUAAAUUAUGAGCAUGAGAAAUUGCGAAUUGAAUGAAAUGGAAAUGAAGCAUUAAAUUGCAUGAGUAUGUAUCGGGUCUCGCAGGCCCUAAUUAUUAUGAAUAUAUUAUUUUGAGGAUAUACUGUGAAAAGUUAUAGAAACAUGUUAAUUAUUUUGAAAGUUUUAAUUUUGAUGAAAUUUUAUAACUCGGUUAAAUACGUUUACAAGUGUAUGUGUUUUGGUAAUGCCUCGUACCCUAUUCCGGUGUUGGAUACGGGUAAGGGGUGUUACAAUAAUAUUCUCAUAUGCCCAGUUAAUAUCUUCGUAUUCCAUAAAAUCUGCAUCAUUUCGACCGAAAUGUUUUCAGAUAAAAUUGUGUAUUGUCAUUGUAGCAACAACGAUCAUGGUUUGCUUUUCAAAAAUAUAACUUGGCAUAUCCCUUAAAAUGGCCCUUUUUUUCAAAACACCAAAAGUUCGUUCAAUCACACUACGUAAUGAUGAAUGUGAAUGAUUGAAUAUCUCUUCUAUACCAGAUAUCGGUCUACCUCUACGAAAGUCAAGUAAAUGAUAUCGUAUGGGUUUUGCUUAUGAUUGCGGCACUCUUUAAUAUGUACCAUUUGCAAUACAUUUAAGUAAAAAUAUUAUUAUAUAUAAAGUCCUAAGGCAGUCAUUAAGAAAACCCAUGUAGUUACUUCAAACAUGUGGUAUUAUUGAUUAUCAAAGUAAUGGCAUUAAAGGCAUGACUUCCCCACUCCACCGGUCCAGGUGCAACUGCAUUAAUGGAGUAAAAAAGACACAUACCUAGCUACAAAACUCAAUUAUGGCUUGUUUCCAAACCUUACCAAACCAUGAACUCAACAUGAUACUUCAAACAAUUGAAUCACCAAACUAAAAGAGAAAAAAAGAAUUUCAAAAACUAGAAUAAAUUGCUUGGAUGUUUAAGUUCAAACCUGGGAAUAUAUAUAUAGAAACGCAAAAGUUGAAGCAAAAAGAAAAGAAAAAAGCCAGUGUAACCUCCAGUAAGAAGCUCAAAAGAAUGGAAAUGCUAGCAUUUACCAAUCAAAAUUAAUAUAUAGUAAAGUAAUUAAGUUGAAAAAAAGAACUUUGCAAAUGAAGAAGAGACAGAAAACAACACACAUAAAAAAUGGACAAAGACUGAUGAUGUUUGUAAACCAUCCAGAAAAUAGAAUAAGAAGAGAACAAAUCCAUCAACCACCUCUCUGAAAACUAUCCAUUUGCCAGCAGAGGAACAAAAAACCAGCACCAGCAGAGGAACAAAGAACGAGCGAUGAGAGAAGAGAUGAGAGCAAAGAACCAGUGUUGUAUGUGUGGUUAAAAAAGUAAAAGACCAGCCCAAAAGUACUUUUCGGCUGAAAAAGCUAAAAAAUUCUACUUUUUCAUCUGCCCAAAAGCACUUCAAAUAAGUUCGAAAUUUGCUACCAAAUGAAGUCUGUUCUGCAUUACUUUUUAGAGAAAAGCACUUUUCCUUUACUGAAUUGAAUUAAUGGAAAAAAACGACAAAGAGUGUAAUUUUUACUUUACUUUACUGAAAGUGAAUGGAUAAAUAUGGAAUUAGAGAAUAAAGAAAAUUGGGGAAAAAAGAAGAAGAAGAAGGAGAAGUGUUGUCAUGAUUAUGACCCUUGGAUAUUAUGGAAGAAGUGAAGAAAUAAUUGCAAUUGGAUAUUAAUUAUAAUGUUGGGAUUUUUAUUAAUGUUUUAAUUAUAUUAAUUGUUACAUGGCCGUGUGGCUCAAAUGGACGUGUGGAAGAGGUCAGUUUAUGUGGCUCCCGUACUUGUUUUGAUUUUCAAUUCUUGAUAAGUGUCAAAAGUAACAUAUUUUAAUUUCGUUCUUAAUACGUUUUUAGAUGAUUAAUCAAUGCAAAAUGGUGAAUUUUAUACUCAUAAUCCUUUAAAUUUAUAUUUCUAUACUUAUAAGAGCAUUUUGAGAGAAAAAUGAGUGAAAACGGAGCGAAAAUCAGACAAUUGGAGUAGAUUUUAGGAGCCACAUGGGUUGGACACACGAUCAUGUGAGCCAUACGAGCUGCCAGACAGCCAUGUGCCAGACCGUGUGGAUUUCGCGUUUCACACUCCAAAUAUGUGGAAUCACGCAGUUUUUAGGUUUUUCGGGCAUUCUUAGACCUAUAUAUACCAAAUAUAAGGAGAGAAGUAAGAGCCGUCAGAGAAUAUUGAAGAAAACAACUCAGAAGACACCAUUGAAGCCAACUUUGAAACAGAUUUCCACUAAGAUUGAAGAUCUCCUUUUGAUUUAUUUGAAGUUUAUUAUGAGUUUCUUUAUUUUUUUGUGGUUAUAUUGUCUUUGAGAUGUUUUUAUUCGCGAUUAUGAACUAAUUUUCUAAUACCUAGGGGAGAUGAACCUUAUGAUGAAUUUUGUCUUUUGAUUUCUGUUUUAUGCAAUGAAUAAUUGAAUCUUAUUCUUAGUUAUGUGUGCUUAAUUCUUGAUUUAAUAUUUUCGAAUUAUUAAUUCAUGUUUGAUGUGCUUAAUUCAAAGUAGAUCUAGCAUAAUUGAGUGGAGUUGCAUGUAAUCUUAGAAAUAGGACGACAUAAAUCUACCGAAUUAGGUAUUCAUAAAUGAGAACUCAAUCAUAUCCAUCGGCACAAAACCCAACCAGGCGAGUCACAUUUACAUAGUGGAUUCUACCCAUCGAACUCACCUCAUUGAUGAACUCUUAAUAGUUAACUAAAGUUUGCUUUCUACUUUUUUUUUAUUUCUAUUUUUAAGAAAAUGUUAUUUUAUUAAUUCAAUUAUCAAAAUUAAUAUUAUUUUAUUUAAAUUAGAUUAAUCCUCAUUUAAUUAUUACAAGUAUAUUAUUUUAGAAUUAUAAAAAUUAUUAUUUAAUAAAUUAAACAAAUAAACAUUUAAAAUCACAUACAUUACAUUAAAAACUAAUAUAUCUAAAUAUAUAUUUUACCACUUAUUUUAAUCUUGUUAUUUUUAAUUUCAUCAAAAUUAUAUAUCACUCGAGCCACUGCGACUGCUGACUGGCGAUUAUUGCCUGCAUAAUUUGAUGAAAGGUUCUGAAUUAAUACAUCCAAGACUUUUAUGAGCAUCGCCAUUGACUGACCGACGACUUGUAUGAAUGAAUUUUCCACAUUAGCUUUAUUAUGGACUGAUUUUUCAAAGAAAGAAUUUUCCACUUGCUCUCAGUUGCAGCCAUAAAAUAAAUGAAUGAUUGGCAUUUUACAUUAAAGAACAUCCCAUUGUUUAUUUCUUCAUCGGAGCUCCACCGGAACCUGAUGAUGUUAAGACCCAGACUUGUCUUGUUUAGCGUCUUUGCCCUUACUUUAUCUCUAUCCCCAGAUGUUUCCGAUGGUAGAGCAGGCAAAAGCAACCACUGCAACCCAUCUUUGUGUGGACACGUUAAUAUCAGUCACCCUUUCCGACUAAAGGGUCAGCCUCGAGAAUGUGGUGACCGUAGGUUUGAAUUAGAGUGCAAGGGAAACCGCACCAGUUUUCCCACGAAAUACGGAAACUUUUAUGUCCUAAACAUCUCUUAUGUUUACGGAACGCUUCGACUUGUGGAUGUGAGUCUGGUCGAUGAAAACUGCUCAAUUCCUCGCAGUUCCAUUGUCGAUUCUUCAGACAGCUAUCUAGAAUACAUAAUAGCGAAUGGAGCAGACACCAUGUAUCUGGUAAAUUGCACGACAAAGAUGAAGUCUUCUUCAGUUUAUGUCGAUGCUUCUCGUUGCCCAACCAAUAGCUCUUCUUCUCCUUGGACCUACUUCUACUUUCCGGUCUUGUUUUCAAAUAUAUCCGAUUUCCAUCAUUCGUGCAGAUUUAUAUGUUAACAUUAAUGGGAGACAACAUUAAUGGCAAACAAUACAAAGUGGUGCAAGUUUAGCACCCUAAAGUUGACUUUGAAAAAAGUGGCAUGGGAUAAUUUUUUUUGGUCAUUGAGAUAAUGGGCUAUUUAUUGUUUGGUCCUUAAACCUCAACUAUAAAUAGGCCUUCUCAUUUCUCAUUUCAAUUCAUCCCAACCAAUCUUUCUCUCUUAGUUUUAUCUCUUCUCCCAUUUGAGAAUUCUUAAGGAAUUCUAUUUGUUUGUAAUAUUUUGGAGAUAGUAAAGUUAUCAUCUGGUUUUAGUAGCCCGAGGACGUAGGUAUAAUUUACUGAACCUCGUUAAAACUCUUGUAUUCUUUUUGUCCUAUUUUUCUUUCAAUAUUUGAGGGUAUAAUAGUAGUAUUUAAUUGUGCUAUUAAAUUACGUUAGAAGGAAUAUUCUGACUAAGGAAAGACUUGGUAUUUAAGAGAUCCUUGUGAUCCACCUCUCUUCCCUGGGAAUUGAACUUUGUGUGAUUUUUAGUACAAUAAUUUACACGCUUCCGACCCUAUUGGAACUACAAGUGGUAUCAAGAGCCGAAGGUUAAUCGUAGUAUGCUCUGUGGUUGCAGUUUAAACUGAUCUUCCACAUCAGAAAAGAUUUCUUUAGGUAUAUUGAAAGAUUAUGGAGAAAACAGUCGGUGUAGGAGCUUCAACAUCGUCCAUAUGGACAAGACCGACAAUUGCAAAUGCAAGAUUGGCCGUGGAGAUCUUUGAUGGCACGGGCCAUUUUGGUAUGUGGCGAAGUGAGGUUCUAGAUGCCCUUUUUCAGCAGGGUCUAGACAUUGCCAUUGAUGAAGAGAAACCAGAUGAUGUACAGGAGAAAGAUUGGAAGGCGAUCAAUCGGUUGGCAUGUGGCACAAUUCGAUCAUGCUUUUCUCGAGAGCAGAGGUAUGCUUUUUCAAAGGAGACUUCUGCAAAUAAGUUGUGGGUGGCACUUGAAGAAAAAUUUUUGAAGAAAAACAGUCAAAAUAAGCUCCACUUGAAGAAAAGACUGUUUCGCUUCACAUACGUCCCAAGUACCACAAUGAAUGAUCACAUCACCAAAUUUAAUCAGUUAGUCACUGAUUUGCAGAAUAUGGAUGAGACAUUCAAAGAUGAAGAUUUGGCUUUGAUGCUAUUGGGGUCACUUCCUGAGGAGUUUGAGUUCCUAGAAACUACUCUACUUCAUGGCAGGAGUGAUAUAUCUCUGAGCGAAGUCUGUGCGGCCUUAUACAGUUAUGAACAGAGAAAGAAGGACAAACAGAAAAACUCAAUCAGAGAUACAGAAGCUUUAGUAGUCCGAGGUCGUUCAUACACUCGGAAGAAAACUCAAAAGGGGAGAUCAAAGUCAAAGUCCAGACUCGGGAAAAAUGAAUGUGCUUUUUGUCAUGAGAAAGGCCACUGGAAGAAAAAUUGUCCAAAGCUGAAGAAUAAGGGAAAAGCUGCUGUAGAUGCUUGUGUUGCUAAGCAUGAUACUAGUGACUCUGAACUAUCACUGGUUGCAUCAUCAUCGUCGUUCCAUUCAGAUGAGUGGAUAUUGGAUUCGGGUUGUACCUAUCAUAUGUCCCCUAACCGGGAGUGGUUCUCUGAUUUAGUAGAACUAAAUGGAGGAGUUGUUUAUAUGGGCAAUGACAAUGCCUAUAAAACUGUUGGGAUAGGUUCAAUCCAAUUAAAGAAUAAAGAUGGAUCAACCAGAGUUCUGACUGAUGUUCGGUACGUGCCCAGUUUGAAGAAAAAUCUCAUCUCAUUGGGAGCCUUGGAAUCCAAUGGUUCAGUUGUUACUAUGAGAGAUGGGAUUUUGAAAGUGACAUCUGGCGCACUUGUGAUAUUGAAGGGCAUCAGAAAAAAUAACUUGUAUUACUACCAAGGUAGUACAGUGAUUGGAGCAGUCGCUGCAGCUUCCGGCAACAAAGAAUUGGACUCAAUACAGUUGUGGCAUAUGAAGUUGGGACAUGCCAGCGAAAAAUCCUUACAAAUUCUGGCAAAGCAAGGAUUGUUGAAAGGUGCAAAGGCUUGCAAAUUAAAAUUUUGCGAGCAUUGUGUUCUGGGAAAGCAAAAGAGAGUGAAAUUCGGUACUGCUAUCCAUAAUACAAAAGGUAUUUUGGAAUAUGUUCACUCAGAUGUGUGGGGGCCUUCCAAGACACCUUCAUUGGGAGGAAAACACUACUUUGUUACUUUUGUUGAUGACUUUUCCAGAAGAGUUUGGGUGUAUACCAUGAGAACUAAGGAUGAAGUGCUUAGAGUUUUUCUUAAAUGGAAAACUAUGAUCGAAAACCAGACUGGCAAGAAAAUCAAGCGGCUUAGGACGGACAAUGGAGGGGAAUAUAAAAGUGAUCCGUUCUUCGAUGUGUGCCAAGAGUAUGGUAUUGUUCGACACUUCACAGUUAGGGAUACACCACAGCAGAAUGGAUUGGCAGAGCGUAUGAAUCGAACAUUGCUGGAGAAAGUUCGAUGUAUGUUGUCCAAUGCUGGGUUGGGCAAGCAAUUUUGGGCUGAGGCUGUGACAUACGCUGGCCAUCUUGUUAAUCGUUUGCCAUCAUCUGCAUUAGAAAGAAAAACUCCUAUGGAGGUAUGGUCUGGAAAACCGGCUACAGAUUAUGAUUCCUUACAUGUGUUUGGAACCACUGCAUAUUACCAUGUGAAGGAGUCAAAGUUAGAUCCGAGGGCAAAGAAAGCUCUCUUUAUGGGAAUCACUUCUGGAGUGAAGGGAUUUCGUCUUUGGUGCUUAAGCACAAAGAAAAUGAUCUGUAGCAGAGAUGUUACCUUUGAUGAAUCUGCCACAUUGAAAAAGGUAGCAGAUAAAGAUAUUCAGACGAGCAAUACUCCACAGCAGGUGGAGUGUACUCCAAAACAGGUGGAGUUUGAGCAGAUGGGGAUUUGCCCAGUUAAUAAGUCUAAUUCUCCAGCCACAAUGGAGGAAUUAGAGGUUGAAGAGGUUCUGACCCAAGAACCACUAAGUACACCAGAACCAGUUGCAGUUGCAAGGCCACGGAGAGAAAUUCGUAAACCUGCUCGAUUUACUGAUAUGGUGGCCUACGCCCUUCCUGUUGUUGAUGAUAUUCCUAUCACUUAUCAAGAAGCAAUGCAAAGCUUAGAAAGUGAUAAAUGGAAAAGCGCCAUGGAUGAAGAAAUACAGUCUCUCCGGAAGAACAAUACUUGGGAGUUGGCGCAAUUACCGAAAGGUAAAAGGGAAAUCGGAUGCAAGUGGGUAUUUGCAAAGAAAGAUGGAUCUCCUAGCAAGAAGGAUAUUCGCUACAAGGCAAGAUUGGUAGCUAAAGGCUACGCUCAGAAGGAGGGAAUUGACUACAAUGAUGUAUUUUCCCCUGUUGUGAAGCAUUCCUCCAUUAGAAUUUUGUUGGCCUUGGUAGCACAGUUAAAUUUGGAGCUAGCUCAACUUGAUGUUAAGACGGCUUUUUUGCAUGGUGAGUUAGAAGAGGAGAUCUAUAUGACUCAGCCCGAAGGAUACACAGAUGCUGGUAGUAGAAAUUGGGUUUGUAAGCUGAACAAAUCGCUAUAUGGAUUGAAGCAAUCCCCGAGGCAGUGGUACAAGCGAUUUGAUAGCUUUAUGAGAAGGCAGAAGUACACAAGAAGCAAAUAUGACAAUUGUGUAUAUUUGCAGAAGCUGCAUGACGGAUCUUUCAUUUAUCUACUCUUGUAUGUUGAUGAUAUGUUAAUCGCUUCGAAGAGCCAAAAUGAGAUAGAUAAGCUGAAGGCUCAGUUGAAUCAAGAGUUCGAGAUGAAAGAUCUAGGUGAGGCCAAGAAGAUUCUCGGCAUGGAGAUAAGUAGAGAUAGACCGAGAGGCAAGCUCUGUUUAAAUCAGAAGCAAUAUCUGAAAAAAGUAUUACAAUGUUUUGGUGUAAAUGAAAACACAAAACAUGUAAGUACCCCACUUGCUUUUCAUUUGAAACUUAGUGCUCAAUUAUCUCCGAAGACUGAAGAUGAAAGAGAAUAUAUGGCGAAAGUCCCAUAUGCUAAUGCAGUUGGGAGUUUGAUGUAUGCGAUGGUGUGUACGAGGCCUGACAUUUCACAAGCUGUUGGAGUUGUGAGCAGGUAUAUGCAUGAUCCUGGAAAAGGACAUUGGCAAGCUGUGAAAUGGAUUCUACGGUAUCUUCGAAAAACCGUAGAUGUUGGUUUAAUUUUUGAACAGGAUGAAGCACUUGGUCAGUUUGUAGUUGGAUAUGUUGAUUCCGACUUUGCUGGUGAUUUAGAUAAACGUCGUUCAACUACGGGGUAUCUGUUUACUCUUGCGAAAGCCCCAGUGAGUUGGAAGUCUACCUUACAGUCUACAGUAGCUGUGUCUACUACAGAGGCAGAAUAUAUGGCAGUUACAGAAGCUGUUAAGGAGGCUAUUUGGCUUAAUGGAUUAUUGAAAGACUUGGGAGUUGUUCAAAGUCACAUUAGUCUAUAUUGUGACAGUCAGAGUGCUAUUCAUUUAGCGAAAAAUCAAGUCUAUCAUUCAAGAACCAAGCAUAUCGACGUAAGAUAUCACUUUGUGCGGGAAGUCUUUGAAAAAGGAAAAAUUCUACUUCAGAAGAUUCCGACAGCAGAUAAUCCCGCAGAUAUGAUGACCAAGGUGGUAACAACAAUCAAGUUUAAUCAUUGUUUGAACUUGAUUAACAUCUUGAGAAUUUGAGCACCUUUAGGUGUAUGGCGCUCGAGAGCGCAUUUGGAGGCACUACAAAAGAUAGCUUUAUCGAAUUUGGGGAGUUGAAGGAAGUGUGUGAAUAUGUGAUUAUCCUAAUCAAAUCUUCAAGGUGGAGAUUGUUAACAUUAAUGGGAGACAACAUUAAUGGCAAACAAUACAAAGUGGUGCAAGUUUAGCACCCUAAAGUUGACUUUGAAAAAAGUGGCAUGGGAUAAUUUUUUUUGGUCCUUGAGAUAAUGGGCUAUUUAUUGUUUGGUCCUUAAACCUCAACUAUAAAUAGGCCUUCUCAUUUCUCAUUUCAAUUCAUCCCAACCAAUCUUUCUCUCUUAGUUUUCUCUCUUCUCCCAUUUGAGAAUUCUUAAGGAAUUCUGUUUGUUUGUAAUAUUUUGGAGAUAGUAAAGUUAUCAUCUGGUUUUAGUAGCCCGAGGACGUAGGUAUAAUUUAUUGAACCUCGUUAAAACUCUUGUGUUCUUUUUGUCCUAUUUUUCUUUCAAUAUUUGAGGGUAUAAUAGUAGUAUUUAAUUGUGCUAUUAAAUUACAUUAGAAGGAAUAUUCUGACUAAGGAAAGACUUGGUAUUUAAGAGAUCCUUGUGAUCCACCUCUCUUCCCUGGGAAUUGAACUUUGUGUGAUUUUUUAGUAUAAUAAUUUACACGCUUCCGACCCUAUUGGAACUACAUUAUAGCCCAGUUUCCUGUCAUGCUUUCCAAUAUUAGUGGCUUAUCCCCUUCGUACAUUUACAAAAACCUGUUGGAAGGCGUCGACGUGUACUGGUAUAUACCCUAUACUGAUUGGACUUUAAACCCGAUUCUCAAAGUGUAAGAGACUUCGAUCUUUAGAUUCUUUCAAUCUAUAACUUUUCAAGGUCUUAUUUAUUGAUUGGUUGCUUUUGUUUUUCCUUGGGGGGGUUAUUCUAGCCUGCUACAUUUGGUGAACUAUCUGCUACUUCCAAUUACAGCAUACAUAGUAAGCAAUGUGGCCUUUCUUCUACCGGGAAUCUUCGGCCAUUAUCCUUUUGGGAAAGGUUAAUCUUUCAGAUUUCAUAAGUAUCUUUAUUUAUUGGAUUUGCCCUUGAAUUGUAUUCGAGUUAGUAAUUUUAUUGUUCAAUUUGCGUUUUAAACAGGAGCCACCUUCGUUUGUCUUGCAGUAUCAGGUAAAUCUCUUUCCCUUCCCACUUUUUAUGUUAUCUUUAUAAAAUAAUCAUGAAUGCUGAUUUAUCCUUGUGUAUGCACCUUGAUGGGCAAGCAGGCAUAUUGUUAGCGAGAACUUUGUUGGGGAUAUUCUGCCUCAUUACACUUGUCAUACACAAACUAAAGAGGAGGCAUUUAUCGAUGGAUGAUAAUAUUGAAAACUUUCUUCAAAGUCAAAGUAAUUUAAUACCAAUUCGAUAUUCGUAUUCUGAAAUAAAAAGAAUUACGGAAGGUUUUAAAGUUAAAUUAGGUCAAGGAGGUUAUGGUUCUGUGUUUAAAGGAAAGCUUCGCAGUGGUCGGCUAGUGGCAAUAAAAAUGUUGGAUAAAUCCAAAGCAAAUGGGGAAGAUUUCAUCAAUGAAGUUGCUACUAUUGGAAGGAUUCAUCAUAUUAAUGUAGUGCAACUUAUUGGGUUUUGUGUAGAGAGAUCAAAACAAGCUCUUGUAUAUGAUUUUAUGGUGAAUGGGUCUUUGGAUAAAAUUAUAUUUUCAAAGGAGAAUUGCACUUUAAGUUGGCAAAAAUUAUUUGAGGUUGCAUUAGGUGUGGCUCGAGGGAUUGAGUACUUGCACAGGGGUUGUCAAAUGCAAAUUUUGCAUUUUGAUAUCAAGCCGCACAACAUUCUUUUGGAUGAAAACUUUAUCCCUAAAGUUUCUGAUUUUGGUCUUGCAAAAUUAUAUUCAGUGGAUGACAGUAUUAUUUCUCUCACAGCGGCUCGUGGUACAUUAGGAUACAUUACUCCUGAAUUAUUUUACAGAAAUAUUGGAGGCAUCUCAUAUAAAGCCGAUAUUUAUAGUUUUGGAAUGUUAUUAAUGGAAAUGGUGGGAAGAAGAAAGAAUUUGAAUGCAUUUGAUGAUCAUUCUAGUCAAAUCUAUUUUCCGUCAUGGAUUUAUGAUCGAUUUGAACAAAGAGAGAACAUAGAAUUAGGGGAUGUAACAGAAGUUGAUGACAAAAUAGCAAGGAAGAUGAUCAUGGUUGCAUUUUGGUGUAUACAAAUGAAUCCCACUAAUCGUCCUUCAAUGAGCAAAGUUUUGGAAAUGCUCGAAAAUGAACUUGAUCACCUUGAAUUGCCGUCCAGACCUUCACUAUUUUCUCUCGAAAAGUCAAUUGAAGAUCAUGUUAGUAAGAAUGUAUCGGAGGAACCAUCAACGUCAAAAAGUUGUGUGGACCUCUAAGUAUAAUGUUUGAUUUUAUUCGGUCCUUUUAUACAUAUAGUUCUGCAACUGUAAGCUUUUAAUUUGUAGCUUUUCAUGUUCAGUUGUAUAAUAUCCAGCAUCAUGUAAUACAACUAUUAAUGGAUGUGUGUUUUAGACUUUAGCUCCUUAGCUUCAUGUUUCAAUUAUUAAAAAUGUCUCCUUGUCACCGUAUGACGAGUUAAUAUCAAAUUUCGUUUACAAUUAUUUAGUAUAUAAGUAACUCUUAACAUUGCGUGAUCUCAUGAGAAGGUUUUUACUCUCGUAUCGUAAUAUAUAAUCAUGCUGAUAAGAGUAUUUUGUAAUAAUUAUGAGUGUGGUGUGACAGUUGCUCACUUUAUUUUUUAAUCAUGUAGCUCAUAGAAAUGGAACACCUUCCAAUGAUGAAUACCUUAAUUUUGACAAUUAAACAACAGUUAAGAUAGAAUCUUAUCAUUUAUUAGUAGAAUUUAUAUACCAACAGCCAUGCAGCGUUUCAUUUAUGAGUUCAAAUAAAAUCAAGUUUCAACUGAUUCUAGUACUACUAACAAUGAGGCUCGAGAUUGUUCUUAUUCCAUUUCUGAAAUAGUGGGUAGAUCUCUGUUAACCGGCUUCCUAGGUAUGGUGGCACCUAUCGUCUUCGGUGGAUCUAUCGACGCAAAAAGAUUUGGUGGCAUUGUAAGAACGUCAAGCUCUCCCUCUAACAUCUGAACCACCACUUUCAUCGAAGGACGAUCAACGGGAUACCACUGAAUGCACCAAAGUCCAACGAUCAUGAGUUUCUUUGCUAUCCCUGUUUGUGCAUCAUCUUCAAUUCGAAUCCCGAACUCCUCUCCUUUAUCCAAACGAUCAUAUGCCCAUUCUGGGAAAUACACUUGGCUUGUAUUCUCGACCGUAACAUCUAUGUUCUUUCUCCCCCCAACCAUUUCAAGCAACAGCAUUCCAAAACUAUAAACAUCAGACUUAUAUGACACAUUUCCGAAGUUGCGAGACAGUACCUCAGGUGCAAUAUAGCCCAUGGUACCUCUAGCUGUUGUCAUUGAAAUAGCACUUUGUUCCUUGGAACACAAUUUAGCAAGGCCGAAAUCAGAGACCUUAGGAUUGAAGUUGUGAUCAAGCAAAAUAUUGUGAGGUUUGAUGUCGAAAUGGAGGAUACGUUGCUCACAACCUUGAUGCAGGUACUCGAUGCCUUUGGCUACACCGACAGCAAUAUCCUGAAGUUUUUCCCAACUAAGGGAUCGAUCCUUGCCCUUGGCUGCAAAUAUGAACUUCUCUAAUGACUCGUUUGGUAAGUAUUGUUAAAGCAAAUAGAAACUAACACAGAAAGAAAUAAAAGAUCAAGAAGAGAAUUAUUGUUUUUCAUUGCUUUCAAAAUUGAUACGUGCAUGCAUUUAUACAAGUGAAGUCUAACUGACGUAAGCAAAGUAACUGCUAUUUAACUAACACCAGCUUUUAACAAACUAGCUACUUUUUGCAUGCAGUUACAACUGCAUUACUCUUAACAUUCCCCUAGUCAGUCGAUUUCUGAUUUUUAAGUUCAUCAGGCGACAAGACCCUAAGAGCAUAUCGAAACGUAGAAAACAUCUUAGGAGUAAUUGGUUUAGUUAGAACAUCUGCAAUUUGUUGAUCAGAUGGCACAAAAUUGACUUGUAAGUGACCUGCAAGGAUUUUUUCCCUGACAAAAUGGUGAUCGAUUUCAACAUGCUUCAUUCUAGCAUGAUGCGUGGGAUUCUCAGCCACAGAGACUGCAGAGGAAUUGUCGCACCACACAACUGGCACUUUGGAUGGAAAAAUGCCUAUUUCAGCCAACAAUUGUUGAAGCCAUAAGAGCUCAGAAACGCAAUUUGCGAGACUACGAUAUUCUGCUUCAGCAGAAGAUCUUGACACAACUGGCUGCUUCUUUGAACACCAAGCAACAGGAUUUGAGCCUAAGAACACAACAUACCCGGAGGUUGACCGUCGAUCCUCAAUGGAUGAUGCCCAGUCUGCAUCAGAGUAGCAUACUAGUUUGAGUUGACUGGGUGUUAGAAACAAACCAUGAUCUAUGGUACCAGCUAGGUAUCUCAGAACCCGUUUUAGUGCUCUCCAAUGAGCUUCUCUUGGAGCAUUCAUGAACUGGCUGAGUUUAUUGACACUAAACGACAGAUCCGGCCGUGUUAUACACACAUAUUGUAGCAUCCCUACAACACUUCUGUACAAGUGAACAUCUACCAAUGGAGGACUAUCAACUGAAGCGGCUAACUUUGGAUUGCUUACCAUAGGUGUUGGUGUGGGGGUGGCCUCGACUAGCCCAGUUUUUUUAAGUAAGUCAACAAUAUACUUCUUCUGACUGAGUAGAAUUCCCUGUUUAGUGUGCUGAACAUCAAUUCCCAGAAAGAAAUUGAGCUCUCCCAUAUCCUUGAGAGCAAAUUUGCUAUGAAGGUGAAGUAUGACAUCUGCCAUUUCUUGAUCAGAACUACCUGUGAGAACAAUGUCAUCAACAUAGACCAUGAGCAGAAGUUUCUUUCCAUCAGAUUCACGAAUAAACAAGGAGGAGUCAGCCUUGGAUGCUUGAAAACCAAGCUGAUCAACAAGGUACUGUUUAAGAGUUUGGAACCAUGCACGGGGUGCUUGUCGCAGACCAUAGAGAGCUUUGUGCAACUUACAAACGAGCUUCUGACUCGAGGAAUCACAUACUUCAAAACCAGGGGGUUGCUCCAUGUACAACUCUUCAGUCAGUUCUCCAUUGAGAAAGGCAUUAUUAAUGUCAACUUGCCUUAACGACCACCCAUUUAUAACAGCAAGAGCAAGAACCGUGCAAAUAGUGGAGGCUCGAACCACCGGACUAAACGUGUCACGGAAAUCAAAUCCUGCAUGUUGAGAGAAGCCUUUUGCUACCAGCCGAGCUUUGUAUCUGUCCACUGAUCCAUCAGCCUUUUUUCUUUAUCUUAAACAGCCACUUGCAUCCGACUGCCUUCCGAUUACUUGGUAGUGAGCAGAGUGUCCAAGUGUUAUUACGAGUCAAUGCCUGUAAUUCAUCACGAACAGCUGUUUGCCAGUCUGGAGAUGUCAUUGCAGUGUGAAUAUCAGAAGGAACCUCUGCUGAAGAGCAUUGGACUGUACUCAUAAAAACCUUUGGUUUGAAAGUUCCAACUUUACUUCUGGUAACCAUGGGAUGUAUGUUGAGGGAAUUUGAAUGAGAAGCUUGUAAUGUUUGAGGUGUAGGUGACAUUGAUGAGGUGGCUGACGUAGGGGUGAUAGGUGUUAACGUAUGAGGUGAAAGUGAAUUCGGUGAAAUAGUGGGGUUAGGUUGUUAUUGUACAGCUUGAUGGUCAGACAAGGAAAGAGGUGAUGUAGGUGAGGGACUAGGUGGUGUAGGUUGAUUAUGAAAAGAAGUGGUGGUAGGUGGGGUAGCAUGAGAUAUUUGUUUGAGAGGUAGGACCAGAAGUUUUGCACUAGACUGAGACACUGGGUUAGACGAGACAAGUGAUGGAGAAAAAACUUUAUAUGGGAAAAUGUGCUCAUAAAAUGUGACAUGACGUGUUACAUAGAUUUUUCCAGUUGUGUCCUGGCAUUUGUAGCCUUUAUGCAAUGAUGAGUAACCUAGGAACACACAGGGUGAAGACCGAAACUGGAGUUUGACUUUGUUAAAUGAUCUAAGAUUUGGGAAGCACAGGCAACCAAAAAUUCGAAGGAAUGCAUAGUCUGGCUUUGUUUUAAAUAGCUUCUCAUAAGGUGAUAUAUUUCCCAAAGGCUGAGAGGGUAACCUGUUGAUCAGGAAGACUGCGCUGCAAAAAGCUUCAUUUCAAAAUUUUAAAGGCAUGGUAGCAUGAGCAAGCAUGGACAGACCUGUUUCAACCACCUGUCUGUGUUUGCGCUCAACAAGGCCAUUCUGUGCAGAAGUGUAUGGACAAGAGAGACGCUGGACAAUCCCUUGCUGAGCUAGAUAGGGCUUUAAUGCCUGAAACUCUCCACCCCUAUCCGUUUGUAAAACAUGUAGCUUUGCUCCAAGAACUCGUUCAGCUUGACGAUGGAACUGAGGAAAAACAGUAGCAACCUCUGACUUGCUCUUCAAGAAGUAAAGCCAUGUAUAACGAGAAUAGGCAUCAGUGAAGGCAACGUAGUAACAAAAACCAUUAGAGACAAUUGGAGCUGGCCCCCAAACAUCAGCAACGAUCAACUGUAAAGGAGAGCUGUAUGUUGUAGUUGACUUGGAAAAAAGGGAGUUUAUGCUCUUUACCCAUAUGACAAGCAACACACUCAACAAGCUUUUUAUUAUCAGUAAACUGAAUAUUACAAUGUGAAAGAGCUUUUGUAAGAAUAGCACGACAGGGGUGCCCUAGCCGAGAGUGCCAAACAUUUAAAGGGAGCAUUUUGCUAACUGUAAGACAUUGAGCAUGUUUUGAAGACAGUCCACUUUGAGGAAGUUUGUUGAGAUGAAGCCUGUACAAGCCAUGAUGCACAGAACCCUUCAGGAGAACCUCUCUAGUCUGUAAAUCACGGACCUGACACUGAGUGGGAAAAAACUCAAACAUCACCCUGUUAUCUUUAGCAAACUUUGACACAGAUAAAAGAUUUUUAGUAAUACUAGGCACAAGCAACAAGGAUCUCAUAUACAAUGGUCGAGAUCAAGUAAUUAGUGAUGACUGCCCUGUAGACAGAACAGGAAGAGCAGAACCAUUGCCAACAAACACUUUACCUGGUCCUUUGUGUGAGUCACUGUCACUAAGAGAAGUAAUUGAAUUUGUAAGAUGAUGUGUGGCACCUGAGUCUGGGUACCAGGAGUUAUCAGCCACUGUUUCAGGAGUAGCCACAUAAGCCUGAGAUUGUGCUACGCCAGAGGAAGGCAUGCUGACCUGUUGAAAUGGGCUACCAACACACGGGUUAGGCCAGGUAGAUGGAGAGGGAAUUGGAAAACACCAACCUGGUGGAAACCACUGCAUAUUUUGUUGAGGAGGUGAUGACCACGGUAUUGUAGUGGGACUGGAGUUGACCAUACAAACGUUUGCUUGAGGAUGAGGCCGAUAGUUACUACUUUUGUAAGUGGAGUCAAACCGAUGGUAGCAGCGGUCGACUAGAUGCCCAGGCUUUCCACAUAGCUGACAUUGAAUCUUUGAGCCAGAGAAACGCCCUCGACCACGGCCCCGAGAACUAGUUGAUGAUUUGUAAGCAGGUACGGAACUAUUGUCAACAAUAGUUGUUUCUGAAUUCUGAUGAGACACCAUGUUGGCUGAGCUAGAAACAUCAGAGAUCACAACCUGUUGCCGAUUUUCAGUAUCAAGAAGCAUGGACGUGACUCCUUGAACUGUGUAAGGAACUUGACUUGCUGCAACAAUAGAAAUUACAGAUUCAUAUUCAGUAGAAAGACCAUUCAAGAUUGCUGUAACAUGCUCGCGCUCACUGAUAACUUCACCAUAACUAGCCAAAGCAUCACAACAACUCUUAACCUUCAUCAAGAACUCUUUCAUACUCAAGUCACCUUUGCGUUGGGAGUGCAAAGAUCUUCGAUGAAACAUUAAUUUGGAGGUUGUUUGCGUACCAUAUAAAGCAAUAAUAGCAUCCCAGAUUUUAGCACUGGUGUCCAUACCAAUGAGAUGAGGAAGAACAGUUGGAUUAAUCGAAGAUAGCAACCACGAUGCAAGCGCACUGUCUUGCUGUUCAUACCGCUCAAAUUCUGGAUUUUCCCGAAGACCACCAUUGUCACCUGCAAUAAACUGGACAGGAGUUUGCUGUGAGUCCAAGAACCCUUGAAGCUUAUGCGCUUUUAGUGCCAAGAGAACCUGUUGCCUCCACAGCAAAUAGGUAUUAUCAUCAAGAAGAAUACUAAUCUUCUUUGUAGAAAAUAACCUAUUGUCGACUACACCAUCAGCCGCAGCACAAUCCAUGACAACAAAAACAAAAGAGUAGCACAGCGGAUAGACGAGAAAGCUGACCCAGGAGAAGCCUUAAUCUGAUACCAUGUUAAAGCAAAUAGAAACUAACACAGAAAGAAAUAAAAGAUCAAGAAGAGAAUUAUUGUUUUUCAUUGCUUUCAAAACUGAUACGUGCAUGCAUUUAUACAAGUGAAGUCUAACUGACGUAAGCAAAGUAACUGCUAUUUAACUAACACCAGCUUUUAACAAACUAGCUACUUUUUGCAUGCAGUUACAACUGCAUUACUCUUAACAAGUAUUCAUAAACGAGAGCUCGGUCAUAUCCAUCGGCACAAAACCCAACAAGGCGAGUCACAUUCACAUGGUGGAUUCUGCCCAUCGAACCCACCUCGUUGACAAACUCUUCACCAUUUCCCUUGAAAUUAUUGAGUACCUUGACAGCAACUAAAACAUCACUGGAAAGCCUGCCUUUGAAGACAGUUCCAUAGCCUCCUUGUCCCAGUUUGUCCUUGAAAUGAUUAGUUAUCCUUUUAAUAUCAGCAUAGGAGUAUCUUGAGGGUUUAAGCUCUUUAUAAUCUUCCAAAAACUUUUCAAUCUUGACUUGACUUUCUUUCUCCUUUUUGUCUAACCGAUAUCUCCACCCAACUGCAAUGGCAAUGGUUGCAGCAAUUGAAGAACCCAACACAAUACCUGCAAAUCAGCAUACAUCCCUGUGUUAUAUCCUGUCUAAAAUUAUUGAAGCUAAAAGGGAAAUUCCAUUUACCUGCAACCAUUAGCCUUUCUCCCAAACCUGCCAAACAUUUAAAAUUAUUCAGCUUUGAUACAUGGGAAAUCUAAGAAAAGGGCUCACUGUAAGUUUACAACAUUAAGCUUCACUUUGAUGCAGGCUAAUGAUUUUUUUUUAUAGUUAUAAUAGUUAAAACAUACCUAUAUGGUGUUUGGGGAUAUCAAAACACUCGGUUUGUUCCUUGGUGCUAUUAUUGUUGUUCAAUCUACAUCCCCUUCCUUGAGCUUCGCAAUCACCACAGUCUGGUUUAUACCAACGUAAUUGAAAACGGUUACCAUAAGGAGAAAUGGGCGUUGAGAAGUUGCGAAAGUAGCUGCAAUUCAACAGGUUCUCUGGAUAAAUAGGGUCAUAAGAAGCAAAAGCUAUAAUUUGGGAGCCAGGGGUGCUUAAGCAAUCGACUCUGUUUCCUUCAUACAAAGCCUUAUCUUGGCUUGAACAUUCAAACAAGGCAUAGUUGGAUUCAGUUGGCUGGGAUAUAUAAACUUUUAGGCGGCUGAAACCUUGUUGUUCCACCGCGAAUGGAAAGGCAGAAAAAUUGAGAUCUAAAAGCUGCCGCCAGAGGCAACCGCCGGGAAAGUCCAAGUUAAUCCGCUGAGCUUCAUAAUCUAUGUGCUUCACCAACAGCUCCAGCGAACGUGGUAUCUUCAGCAGGGUCUGUUUGUUUUCUGAGCAGGAAAGCUGAAACCCAGGAUGAGGAUAGCCGCAGUGGGGUGACUGCUGGCCUUCUAAACGGAAGGGGAAAUGGACAGGUGGAUCCUGGUGGUUGCACCGCCGCGCCUUGCAGUCGUCUUGGAUUGGCACUGCUUCUGCAACAUCCACAGCUAAGAUAAAGCAGAAUAACGAGUAAAUUAACAUUGUUCUUACUAACUUGUGAGCCCCUGAAGUGAAACGGGCUUUAAAUAAUUUCAUUGACAUAGGUGGUUCAGCCCUUGAGAGUUCCAAUUAUGCACGCAACGCAGCUGCUGCUUUACCAUAUAGCUUUGUCUCGUUUAACAGGGUCUUCAACUCUCCGUCCUCUCUUUGUUCUCUUUUCUGAGUAAAUGUUAGACAUGUUUGAUUGUUAGCAACCCUUUCUAACUUUGUUACUAAUUUUCUUUUAUUCCCGUUAGUUGUAGUAAAAUUUGAGGGAAAAACACUGAACAUGAGAAUGAAUACCGAUUUGCUGUUGUGAUCAUAGUGGGGUCAGCUUGACUGACUCUUGUUUUUCCACCUUCGUUGAAGUUUCCUCUUCCCUUUAUAGUUUUUACUACAUUUUGUUUGGUAUGACUAAGUAGUUGACUGACUUUUAUGGGUUCUUUUUAAUGUCUAUCGUUUUUUUUCUAAUGUAGGUGAUUUUUUUCUCACUUUUUUUUUCUAAUUUAUCUUUUAUUUUUGGAUUUUAAUUCGAAAUCGCAAAACUUGAACCAUCAUAUGUUUUUAAAUUUUAAAUCACUUAUUUUAGAUAGAACAAAUUUUUUAAAAGUGGAUACAAGACAAAAUGACAUAAUUUUUUUAAUAUGAGUAUGGAACAAUUAUAGUCAUUGCUUGUUCUACUCGUCCUAUCUCGAAAUAAUCUUUUACCUUUUUUGUAUAUAAUUAUUAAAAUGAUAAAAAUGUAAUAAUAUAUUAUAGGAAAAAAAUCAUAUGUUUUAUAUUUAUAUUUUUAAAAAAUUAUGUUUAAAUACUUACUCGUCCUAUCUCGAAAUUUCUUGUAGUUAUACUGUCUUUGAGAUGUUUUUAUUCGCGAUUUUGAACUAAUUUUCUAAAUACCUAGGGGAGAUGAACCUUAUGAUGAAUUUUGUCUUUUGAUUUCUGUUUUAUGCAAUGAAUAAUUGAAUCUUAUUCUCAAUUAUGUGUGCUUAAUCCUUGAUUUAAGAUUUUCGAAUUAUUAAUUCAUGUUUGAUGUGCUUAAUUAAGAGUAGAUCUAGCAUAAUUGAGUGGAGUUGCAUGUAAUCCUAGAAAUAGGACGACAUAAAUCUAACGAAUUAGGUAUUCAUAAACGAGAACUCAAUCAUAUCCAUCAGCACAAAACCCAACCAGGCGAGUCACAUUCACAUGGUGGAUUCUACCUAUCGAACCCACCUCAUUGAUGAACUCUUAAUAUUUAACUAAAGUUUGCUUUCUACUUUUUUUUUAUUUCCAUUUUUAAGAAAAUGUUAUUUUAUUAAUUCAAUUAUCUAAAUUAAUAUUAUUUUAUUUAAAUUAUAUUAAUCCUCAUUUAAUUAUUACAAGUAUAUUAUUUUAAAAUUAUAAAAAAUAUUAUUUAAUAAAUUAAACAAAUAAACAUUUAAAAUCACAUACAUUACAUUAAAAACUAAUAUAUCUAAAUAUAUAUUUUACCACUUAUUUUAAUCUUGUUAUUUUUAAUUUCAUCAAAAUUAUAUAUCACUCGAGCCACUGCGACUGCUGACUGGUGAUUAUUGAAAGGUUCUGAAUUAAUACAUCCAAGACUUUUAUGAGCAUCGCCAUUGACUGACCGACGACUUGAAUUAAAGAAUUUUCCACAUUAGCUUUGUUAGUGGACUGAUUUUUCAAAGAAGGACUUGCUCUCAAUUGCAGCCAUAAAAUAAAUGAAUGAUUGGCAUUUUACAUUAAAGAACAUCCCAUUGUUUAUUUCUUCAUCGGAGCUCCACCGGAACUUGAUGAUGUUAAGACCCAGACUUGUCUUGUUUAGCAUCUUUGCCCUUACUUUAUCCCCAGAUGUUUCCGAUGGUAGAGCAGGCAAAAGCAACCACUGCGGCCCAUCUUUGUGUGGACACGUUAAUAUCAGUCACCCUUUCCGACUAAAAGGUCAGCCUCGUCGAUGUGGUGACCGUAGGUUUGAAUUAGAGUGCAAGAGAAACCGCACCAGUUUUCCCAUGAAAUACGGAAACUUUUAUGUCCUAAACAUCUCUUAUGUUGACCGAACGCUUCGACUUGUGGAUGUGAGUCUGGUCGAUGAAAACUGCUCAAUUCCUCGCAGUUCCAUUGUCGAUUCUUCAGACAGCUAUCUAGAACACAUAAUAGCGAAUGGAGCAGACACCAUGUAUCUGGUAAAUUGCACGACAAGUAUGAAGUCUUCUUCAGUUUAUGUCGAUGCUUCUCGUUGCCCAACCAAUAGCUCUUCUUCUCCUUGGACCUACUUCUACUUUCCGGUCUCGUUUUCAAAUAUAUCCGAUUUCGAUCAUUCGUGCAGAUUUAUAGCCCAGUUUCCUGUCAUGCUUUCCAAUAUUAGUGGCUUAUCCCCUUCUUACAUUUACAAAAACCUGUUGGAAGGCGUCGAGGUGUCCUGGUAUCGUUUUUGGCCUUCAAACCCGAUUCUCAAAGUGUAAGAGACUUCGAUCUUUAGAUUCUUUCAAUCUAUAACUUUUCAAGGCCUUAUUUAUUGAUUGGUUGCUUUUUUUUUUCCUGGGGGGGGGGGUAUUCUAGCUUGCUACAGUUGCUACUUCCAAUUGCAGCAUACAUAGUAACCAUUGCGAACUUUCUUCAGCAGGGAAGCAUCAACUAUUAUACUCCUUAUCAUAAAGGUUAAUGUUUCAGAUUUCAUAAGUAUCUGUAUUUAUUGGAUUUGCCCUUGAAUUGCAUUCAAGUUAGUAAUACUAUUGUUGAAUUGGUGUUUUAAACAGCAUCCUUCUUAGUUUGUCUUGCAGUAUCAGGUAAAUCUCUUUCCCCGCCCCACUUUUUUAUGUUAUCUUUAUAAAAUAAUCAUGAAUGCUGAUUUAUCCUUGUGUAUGCCCCUUGAUGGGCAAGCAGCUGGCAUAUUGUUAGCGAGAACUUUGUUGGGGAUAUUCUGCCUCAUUACACUUGUUAUACACAAACUAAGGAGGAGGCAUUUAUCGAUGGAUGAUAAUAUUGAGAACUUUCUUAAAAGUCAAAAUAAUUUAAUACCAAUUCGAUAUUCGUAUUCUGAAAUAAAAAGAAUUACGGAAGGUUUUAAAGUUAAAUUAGGUCAAGGAGGUUAUGGUUCUGUGUUUAAAGGAAAGCUUCGCAGUGGUCGGCUAGUGGCAAUAAAAAUGUUGGAUAAAUUCAAAGCAAAUGGAGAAGAUUUCAUCAAUGAAGUUGCUACUAUUGGAAGGAUUCAUCAUAUUAAUGUAGUGCAACUUAUUGGAUUUUGUGUAGAGAGAUCAAAACAAGCUCUUGUAUAUGAUUUUAUGGUGAAUGGGUCUUUGGAUAAAAUUAUAUUUUCAAAGGAGAAUUGCACUUUAAGUUGGCAAAAAUUAUUUGAGGUUGCACUAGGUGUGGCUCGAGGGAUUGAAUACUUGCACAGGGGUUGUCAAAUGCAAAUUUUGCAUUUUGAUAUCAAGCCGCACAACAUUCUUUUGGACGAAAACUUUAUCCCUAAAGUUUCUGAUUUUGGUCUUGCAAAAUUAUAUUCAGUGGAUGAUAGUAUUAUUUCUCUCACAGCGGCUCGUGGUACAUUAGGAUACAUUGCUCCUGAAUUAUUUUACAGAAAUAUUGGAGGCAUCUCAUAUAAAGCCGAUAUUUAUAGUUUUGGAAUGUUAUUAAUGGAAAUGGUGGGAAGAAGAAAGAAUUUGAAUGCAUUUGAUGAUCAUUCUAGUCAAAUUUAUUUUCCGUCAUGGAUUUAUGAUCGAUUUGAACAAAGAGAGAACAUAGAAUUAGGGGAUGAAACAGAAGUUGAUGACAAAAUAGCAAGGAAGAUGAUAAUGGUUGCAUUUUGGUGCAUACAAAUGAAUCCCACUAAUCGUCCUUCAAUGAGCAAAGUUUUGGAAAUGCUCGAAAAUGAACUUGAUCACCUUGAAUUACCGUCCAGACCUUCACUAUUUUCUCUCGAAAAGUCAAUUGAAGAUCAUGUUAGUAAGAAUGUAUCGGAGGAACCAUCAACGUCAAAAAGUUGUGUGGACCUCUAAGUAUAAUGUUUGAUUUUAUUCGGGCCUUUUAUACAUAUAGUUCUGCAACUGUAAGCUUUUAAUUUGUAGCAUUUCAUGUUCAGUUGUAUAAUAUCCAGCAUCAUGUAAUACAACUAUUAAUGGAUGUGUGUUUUAGACUUUAGCUCCUUAGCUUCAUGUUUCAAUUAUUAAAAAUGUCUCCCAGUCACCAUAUAAUGAGUUAAUAUCAAAUUCGUUUACAAUUAUUUAGUAUAUAAGUGACUCUUAACAUUGGGUGAUCUCAUGAGAAAGUUUUUACUGAUCUCUUAUUGUAAUAUGUAAUCAUGAUAAUUAUGAGUGUGGUGUGGCGGUUGCUCACUUCAUUUUUAAAUCAUUUAGUCAAGAAUUUGAGUUCCGCUCAAAGAAAUGGAACACUUACCAACUAUGAAUACCUUAAUUUUGACAAUUAAACAACAUUUAAGAUAGAAUCUUAUCAUUUAUUAGUAGAAUUUAUAUACCAACAGCCAUGCAGCAUUUCAUUUAUGAGUUCAUAUAAAAUCUUAGCAUUGGUGUAAUAUGAGUGUGCUAAUAGACGAUUUCAAGUUUCAACUGAUUCUAGUACUACUAAUAAUGAGGCUCGAGCUUGUUCUUAUUCCAUUUCUGAAAUAGUGGCUAGAUCUCUGUUAACCGGCUUCCUAGGUAUGGUGGCACCCAUCGUCUUCGUUGGAUCCGUCGACGCAAAAGGAUUUGGUGGCAUUGUAAGAACGUCAAGCUCUCCCUCUAACAUCUGAACCACCACUUUCAUCGAAGGACGAUCAACGGGAUACCACUGAAUGCACCAAAGUCCAACAAUCAUGAGUUUCUUUGCUAUCCCUGUUUGUGCAUCAUCUUCAAUUCGAAUCCCGAACUCCCCUCCUUUAUCCAAACGAUCAUAUGCCCAUUCUGGGAAAUACACUUGGCUUGUGUUCUCGACCGUAACAUCUAUGUUCUUUCUCCCCCCAACCAUUUCAAGCAACAGCAUUCCAAAACUAUAAACAUCAGAUUUAUAUGACACAUUUCCAAAGUUGCGAGACAGUACCUCUGGUGCAAUAUAGCCCAUGGUACCUCUAGCUGUUGUCAUUGAAAUAGCACUUUGUUCCUUGGAACACAAUUUAGCAAGGCCGAAAUCAGAGAUCUUAGGAUUGAAGUUGUGAUCAAGCAAAAUAUUGUGAGGUUUGAUGUCAAAAUGGAGGAUACGUUGCUCGCAACCUUGAUGCAGGUACUCAAUGCCUUUGGCUACACCGACAGCAAUAUCCUGAAGUUUUUCCCAACUCAGGGAUCGAUCCUUGCCCUUGGCUGAAAAUAUGAACUUCUCUAAUGACUCGUUUGGUAGGUAUUCAUAAACGAGAGCUCUGUCAUAUCCAUCGGCACAAAACCCAACCAGGCGAGUCACAUUCACAUGGUGGAUUCUGCCCAUCGAACCCACCUCGUUGAUGAACUCUUCACCAUUUCCCUUGAAAUUAUUGAGCACCUUGACAGCAACUAAAACAUCACUGGAAAGUCUGCCUUUGAAGACAGUUCCAUAGCCUCCUUGUCCCAGUUUGUCCUUGAAAUGAUUAGUUAUCCUUUUAAUAUCAGCAUAGGAGUAUCUUGAGGGUUUAAGCUCUUUAUAAUCUUCCAAAAACUUUUCAAUCUUGACUUGGCUUUCUUUCUCCUUUUUGUCUAACCGAUAUCUCCACCCAACUGCAAUGGCAAUGGUUGCAGCAAUUGAAGAACCCAACACAAUACCUGCAAAUCAGCAUACAUCCCUCUGUUAUAUCCCGUCUUAAAUUAUUGAAGCUAAAAGGGAAAUUUCAUUUACCUGCAAUCAUUAGCCUUUCUCCCAAACCUGCCAAGCAUUUAAAAUUAUUCAGCUUUGAUACAUGGGAAAUCUAAGAAAAGGGCUCACUGUAAGUUUACAACAUUAAGCUUCACGUUGAUGCAGGCUAAUGAAUUUUUUAACGUACGUUGUACAAUUAUAAUAGUUAAAACAUACCUAUAUGGUGCUUGGGGAUAUAAAAACACUCGGUUUGUUCCUUGGUGCUAUUAUUGUUGGUCAAUCUACAUCCCCUUCCUUGAGCUUCGCAAUCACCACAGUCUGGUUUAUACCAACGUAACUGAAAACGGAUACCAUAAGGAGAAAUGGGUGUUGAGAAGUUGCGAAAGUAGCUGCAAUUCAACAGGUUGAGUCCAUAAUAAUUUUCAUCAGAAGCAAAAGCUAUAAUUUAGGAGCCAGGGGUGCUUAAGCAAGCGACUCUAUAUCUUUUAUACAAAGCCUUCUCUUGGCUUAAACAUUCGAACAAGGUAUAGUUGGAUUCAGCUGGUUGGGAUCUAUAAUCUUUUAGGCCGCUGAAACCUGGUUGUUCCUCCGCGAAUGGAAAGGCAGAUAAAUUGAGAUCUAAAAGCUGCUGCCAGAGGCAACGGCCGGGAACGUAGAAGUCAAUCCGUUGAGCUUCAUAAUCUAUGUGCUUCACCAAUAGCUUCAGCGAACGUGGUAUCUUCAGCAGGGUCUGUUUGUUUUCUGAGCAGGAAAGCUGAAACCCAGGAUGAUGAUAGCCGCAGUGGGGAGACUGCUUGCCUUCUAAACGGAAGGGGAAACGGACAGGUGGAUCCUGGUGGUUGCACCGCCGCACCUUGCAGUCGUCUUGGAUUGGCACUGCUUCUGCAACAUUCACAGCUAAGAUAAAGCAGAAUAACGAGUAAAUUAACAUUGUUCUUACUAACUUGUGAGCCCCUGAAGUGAAACGGGCUUUAAAUAGUUUCAUUGACAUAGGUGGUUCAGCCCUUGAGAGUUCCAAUUAUGCACGCAACGCAGCUGCUGCUUUACUACAUAGCUUUGUCUCGUUUAACAGGGUCUUCAACUCUUCGUCCUCUCUUUGUCCUCUUUUAUGAGUAAAUGUUGGACAUGUUUGAUUGUUAGCAACCCUUUCUAACCUUGUUACUAAUUUUCUUUUAUUCCCGUUAGUUGUAGUAAAAUUUGAGGAAAAAACACUGAACAUGAGAAUGAAUACCGAUUUGCUGUUGUGAUCAUAGUGGGGUCAGCUUGACUGACUUUUGUUUUUCCACCUUCGUUUCACUACAUUUUGUUUGGUAUGACUAAGAAGUUGACUGACUUUUAUGGGUUCUUUUUAAUGUCUAUCGUUUCUUUUCUAAUGUAGGUGGUUUUUUUCUCACUUUCCUUUUUCUAAUUUAUCUUUUAUUUUUGGAUUUUAAUUAAAAAUGGCAAAACUCGAAUCAUAUGUUUUUAAAUUACUUAUUUUAGAUACAACAAAUUUUUUAAAAGUGGAUACAGGACAAAAUGAGAUGAUUUUUUUCACAUGAGUAUGAAACAAUUAUAGUCCCUAUCUCGAAAUAAUCUUUUACCUUUCUUUGUAUAUAAUUAUUAAAAUGAUAAAAAUGUAAUAAUAUAUUAUAGGAAAAAAUUCAUAUGUUUUAUAUUUAUAUUUUUAAAAAAUUAUGUUUAAAUGCUUACUUGUCUUAAAAAAAAGUAAAAUUAUUAAAAUAACUAGAAAUAAAAAUUAAAUUAAAGCAGAGCGAAACAAGGUGAGAUGGGAUGGGGAUGAAUGCUUUUAAUAUAUAUGCUGUGAUAGCGAUUUUUCAGAUUAUACAUUCCAAGUGGGGCGAGGCGGGUGGUGGAGUAAAGCAUGUCAACUGUGGAGCGAUGAUGGAUUUGACAACAUUUAACCUGUCUUGCUCCAUUGCAUGAUGCUUAAUAGGGUCUUCUUUUUUUAUUAAAUCAUCACAAUCAAUUUUGUAUUGAUACUGUUCAGAUCAACCAAAUCGAUUCAUUUAAGUAAUAAACCGAAACAAUAAAAUCUGCGGAUUAAAGCCUGUAAUCAAUGUGCACAGUAUCGCCCAAUGAGGUCAAUUGAUCAAAUGGGGCUCUUUUAACCCACUUGAAUUGGCAUGAUUAAUGGAACACAUGGAGAAGCCCAUCCACUUGAAGCAUUGGUGGCUUAGUGAAAUACUUUAGUAAAACUAGAGUUACCAUGGUGAAUAUUUGUAAUCCUAAGGGAUUAGAUUGUAUAGAGCUUAAAUCCCUUCGAACUCUCAUUUGUAGAUAGGUUUUAAUCUUGAUUGUUGAUGUAAUUUAAAUUGAGUUGUUGCAUCAGAGAGAUCUCAACUAUAAAUAAAGGUUUCCCCCUUCAUUUGCAAUCACUCAAUGUUUUUUCACUCAAAGUUACUAAAUAUAAUUGAGAGCAUUUACUCAAACAUACAUUACUUUCUUGUGGUUUCUCUAGUUCUUUCAUUGCUUCUUCACUUUUGUGUUUGCUUCCGCUAAGUUUUGGUGCCUUAGAGAAUUUCCUUGUGAUUUCUUACUUUUUGAGAUUUAGGUGGACUUAGGCGAAUUUAAAGCUAAGUUCUUGCCCAAUGUUGCACAGUUUGCCAGACUAAAGUUCUAGCCUUGUGACAGUUGGUAUCAAGAGCUAGUGAUUGGUAAGGCGUUAAUUGAGAUGGAGAAAGAAGUAAAUAAUCAAGAGCUCGUGACCGUUGGCAUCACGAACUAGUGUUUGGGUAGGAAAGCUAGUAGAUCAAGGGAUAUAUUGUUAGGUUUGGAAGGUUGAGUGACCAACUUCAAGGAAUUCAUGGGUGGCAUGAAGGAAACACUCAAAGUAGUUAAGGGACACACCACAGAGCUGGACUUAGUGAAAGAGUAACUCAAGGGAUAGGUGGCAGAGGCUCUCAGUACUAGUGUGGACGCACUGCAAGGGGUUCUCAAUACCUCUGUGGGUAAGUUGACAAAGAGAGGUGAUACUCUUAAGGACGUGGUGACAAAUUUGAAGGAACAAAUUGAAUAUUUCAAGAAGGAGCUUGUUAUCUGUAAAAUUGCUUUAGGUAAUGACGUGUUGGCUACGAUACCCAAGCCUAAGGUCGAUACCUUCAAGCCGAAAGAAUUUAAGGGGAUGAGAUCCGAAAUAGAUGUGAAUAACUUUUUAUAAGGAAUGGAAUAAAACCUUCGUGCUAGAGGCAUCAAAGAUGCUGCUACUAAGGUAAAUAUUGCAUCUAUUGUAACAGCUCGAUUUAUGGGUCUAGUCAGAGCAGUGGUUUCGGGACCACAAAUCCGAAGUUAAAAUUCUUAUUUUAUUAUUUUAAUAUCUACAGUAUGAUAUUAUUAUUGUGUAAAAAUUUCGUGAAGAAAUUUUAUCAAUUGGGUGCUUAAUUUGAUAAAAAGGACUAAAUCGCGUAAAGUGCGAAAGUUGCAUUCUAUAUGUAAAGGUGUCUAAUAGCUAUAGAAUUUUAAAUUGAAGGUCCUUAUGUGAUAAAUAACCCAUUAUUGAGAUAUUGGAUGUUAUUAGAGUGGCAUUUGGUGUAGUUAUUAGGGUUAUUAAAGGUUAAAUGAGUAAAACGACAUUAUAUGUUAAAUUAAAUAAAACAAAUUGUGUCAUCUUCUUUCACUAUCCAUCUUCACCAAAAUUUCAACCUAAAAUCAGCCAUGGGAGAGCUUGUUAUUCUGCCAAACUUUGAAGACAAAUUGGUGAGUGGUUUUUGCUUGGUUUUUAAUAAUUUCUAUAUUUUUGAUAUCGUUGCUUCGUAAUCUAGCUAACCCGUACCUCCGUUUCUAAAACUGUUAAAGAUUUUUUGAAUUUCCAUUGUUGAAUACUUGAGCUCUUUGAUAUUUUUUGAUGAAAUAUGAAUAUUUUAUGUUAGAUUUUCAUCUUUUAUAAAGUGAUUUUUGAUAAAAAUGUCAAUUAGGGAUUAAAUUGUGAAAUGUGGAAAUUUAGUGGUUAAAAUGUGAAAUAAAUUGAAAAUAUGGGCUGCUAGUGAUAUAUGGAAAAUUCAGCUAGCUUGGAUUUGUGUUUAAUUUCAUAAAAUUGUGAUUUUAUGUUAUAAGGACUAAAUUAUAAAAAUGUGAAAUUAUAGGGGUAAAAGUGUAAAUAUUCUUUAAGGUAAAUUUUGGAUUAAAUUUAAUUGAGAGAUAAUUAAAUAAGCUUAUUUUGAUUAUAUUUAGAUCGAGAAAAGUGAAAUACGGAUCUAGAUUGGGGAAAAGAUAAAGUAUCGGACCAGUCAAUUCGUUCCGUCGUUUUAGCAAUCGAGGUAAGUUCGUGUAAUCAAACUUCAGUGUAUAUUUAGGUAAUUGAUGAAUGAUAGUAUGAAUUUAUUCAUAUAAUCAAUUUAAUUAUGGAGCUUAAAUUAAACGUUCGAUAUAAGUAAAAAUGUAGGAUCAAACACAAUCGUUUCGCAACGAAAGACGAAUUGGCAGAAAAAACCAUGGUUGGACCAUGGCAUUACAUGAUUUCGUAUAAGACCAUAGCUGGGCUAUGACAUCGAUAUAUGAGACUUUGUGUAAGACCAUAUCUAGGAUAUGGCAUCGAUAUAUGUGAUUACGUGUAAGACCAUAUCUGGAACAUUGGCAUCGAUAUAUGAUUCGUGUAAGACCAUAGCUGGGCUAUUGGCACCGAUAUGUGAUAACAUGUAAGACCAUAUGUGGGAUAUGGAAUUGUAUGUGAUAUACGAGACUUUCGAGUAUCCUUAACGAUUAUGAAUGGUUCGUCACGCAAAGUUAAGACAAGAAUGAAAGUUCAAUUGAAUUAAGCAAAACAGGUACGUUCAGAACCUAUGUGAGAGUUAAAUGAAGGUAAUUUAAUGAGAAUUAUUAGUGUAUAAUUAUAUUUUAUGCCAAAAUGUGUUUAUUUGGCUAUAGUGAGGUAUGAAUUGAAUGAUAUGUGUGAUAUGAGCAAUGAUUGUGUUAAUUAUAUGAAUAUGGCACAUUGAGUGAGAAUUACAAUUAUUUAACGAUAAUUUACAUGAUUCUUUCGGCUAAAGAAAUGUGAUGAAUAAUGGAUCAAAUAAAGUUAUACAUUGUUGCUUAUGUAUUUGUAAAUGAGAAUGAAGUGAUAAGAAGUUUAAGAGGCAUACGAGCUUUGAAAGGAAUAAACUCGUGGAAAUCUUGUUUGAUCAUAUGCAUGAAUAUGAGGUAGAAUUGUGAAAUCAAAUGAGUUAUAUUAUGACUUGAUGCAAUUGCUUGUAAUGUGGUUAUUUAGUAAUAAGAGUUAUGAUAUUACAAGCUUACUAAGCUUUAUAGCUUACCUGGUGUUAUUUUUUUAUGUUUUACAGUGUUUGGGACGUUCGCUCGGGUUGGAAGUCGACAGAGAUUGCAUCACACUAUCCAGCUAAUAAUUUCGGUAUUUAUAUACUUUGUGACUUGGUUAUAUGGCAUGUAUAUGCUAUGGUUAUUUUGGUUUACUAUGGAAAGUGUAUUUGGCCAUAUGGUUUGGCUUGUUUUAAGUAUGUAUUUGAUUAUUUUGUAUAGGCUAGUUUUUAAUAUGUUUGGUUUUGAUGAUAUGUAUAUAUUCAGCCAUGCAAAAAUGGCAUGAUUAUAAUGCUAAUGGUUGUGUAAAUUUGAUCAUGGUAUAAGCACAUUUCUGUAAGUAUGUCCCUUGACAUGUAUGAAUGGUGUUCUGGUUAUAUGUCUUGGUUGAGUAAUGAUAUGAAUGACUUAUAAAUAGCUCAUUUAGUAAGCUUGAUACAUGAUUUAAUUUGUAUUUGUGAUUGGUCUUGUGAUUUGGGUUGGAAUGGUUAAGUAGGCAUAUGUGGUAUGCUUGUUUGAGUGAGUUUUUAGGUACAGCUCAUGAUGGAAAUGGUAUGAAUUUUUGGAGGCUAAUUUGAUGAUCAAAUAUAGGAUUAAAUGAUUUAGUUGUGUAUAUGAAAUUUUGGCAUGGUACAUAGUAUAUGAAAUUGGCAUGUUUAAAUUGUAACAGCCCGAUUUUGGGUCUAGUUGGAACAGUGUUUUCGGGACCACAAAUUCGACGAGGAAAAAUGUAAUGGCCUGAAUUUUUAGGGGUGUCGGAACGGUGAUUCGAGAUCACUAAAUCCAAAAAAAUGAGUAGAAAAUAUUAUUAAUUUAGUGAGUAUAAGUAAAUGUGAAGUUAAGAAAAUUUUUGAAAUAGUGAAUAGUGCACUAGAAAUAAAUAUUAAAAUAAUUAGAAUAAAAAAACGAGGUAUCGAGACCUCAGAGAUUUUAAACCGAGCCAUAAAUAUUUUUAUAAAUAUUUAUGGAGUGUUAAAAAGUUAGUAUUAAAUUUUCGUUAAGAAAUUUUAAAGUUUCGAUAAUUAAUUGAACAAAAAUGACUAAAUUGUAACAAAUGCAAAAUUAUAGGAAAUGAUUAAAUAGCUUAAAUGAUAAAAGGAAGAGGGCUUAAAAAGCAAAUAGACCCAAUGUCUGGACGUCAAAGGCAUGAAAUCAACAAGAAAGUAAGGAGAAUUAAGGGCAAAAUUGGAAUACUACAAAAUUACUUAAUAAAGCUAGGAUCAAAGUGGAAUUAUCUAGAUUUCUCUUUAUUUUUCUGCAUUCUCAUCAGCUAAAACACCAUAGAAGGGUUUCCUUAAGUUGGUUUUUCAUAUUUUUACUGCAAGUAAGUUCAAUUCUUGAUUAUUUCUUGAAAUUUUUGUGUUUUUGUGACUUUUACAACUAGGCCCACUUGUUGAAUUCAUUAGUUUUUGAUUCUAUGAAAGAAGUUGAAAGUUGCUAUGAAUAUGUGCUGGAAGUAUAUGAUGAUUUAGCAUGGAAUUAGAGCUUUAAAUUGUUUCUAUGCUGAUUUUAUUGAAAGAAUUGAAUAAAAAGUGAAUAUUUGGGACCUAAUAGUAAAAGAGUUUGAAGUUAGGGUUUUAUGAGGAAAUUCUGAAUUUCAAUAGUUAUGAAUAACUUAUAAUGUCUAAGUAAAGUACUAAUUGAGAAAAAUUAGCUUAAUUGAGGGGUUAAUUAAACAAUGACUGAAUUGUAUGAAUUGUAAAUUUUGAAAUAUAAUAAAUUUUGUGAGACAAGGUCAGAAUGAUUUCGGGUUCCCCUGUUCUGACUUUGGAAAAUCAUCAAAAAUUUAAGAAAAAUAAUUAGGGGCUUAAAUUUAUAUAUUUAAAAUCCUGAAUAAGUCUAUUUUCAAGAGAAACAAACGGAAACAUCAUCCGAAUCCCGUAAGAGGAAAUAAUUAUUUUUUAGUGAAGAAGGGUCGGAACUGUCUAAUAGUGAAACAGGGGAGAAUUUAAAGAAUAAACUGUACUUAUUGGCUAAGCCAAAAAUUCUAAAACUUUUAUGGUAAAAAUAUAUAUGAGUCUAGUUUCUGGGAAAAUUAACGGAUCUUAAUUUGGAGUUUCGUAGCUCAAGAUAUAAAUAAUUUAGUGACUCUGACUCGGAUAGACAGCUUUGAAUUUACUUAUAAGUAAAUAGUGAAAAUGUAGUUAAUGUUAUUUAAGUGUGUUAUAUACAUUAAAGAUGUGAAAUAGAGAGGAGGAGGAGGAAAAUUAGAAAAUAUAUGAAUGACUUGUGUAUAAAUCGGUCAUAUAUUCGAUCAUAAUCGAUAAAUGUUGAAUUAGAAAUGAUGUAAUGUUUUAUUUCAAAUAGUUACUAUGAGAUUGAUGAUGAUCUGACUUUAGCUAAAUUAAAAGCUAAAGCGAUAUUUUCAUUGCAAAAUUAAUAAUUUUAUAAAUGUGUUAAUGAAUAGCAUAAUCGAUAAAUUUGAGUUAAAUGGUAAAUACGUAUUAGUAUUGAACUUAAUGAUAUUGAAUUGUAUGAGAAGUAAAUGGAAAUUUCUAUUGCUAGUGAUAUGAUUUUAAUUAAAAGAAUUAUUGUGAUAUUAAAAUGUAUAUUGGAUUGAGAAAUUGAUUUGAAUUGUGAACAUGAGAAAUUAUGAAUUGAAUGAAAUGGAAAUGAAGCAUUAAAUUGUUAAGACUUGUGAAUUGCAUGAAUAUAAAUCGAGUCUCGUAGGCCCUAUUUAUUAUGAAUAUAAUAUUUAGAGGAUAUAUUGUGAAGAAUUAUAAAAGCAUGUUAAAAAUUUAAAAGUUUUAAUUUAGAUGAAAUUUUAUAAUAUGGUUAAAUACGUUUACAAGUGUAUGUGUUCUAGUAAUGCAUCACACCCUAUUCCGGCGACGGAUACGGGUAAGGGGUGUUGCAUAAAUUCAGUUAUUUUACUUAGAAAAUUACUAAAGUUAGUCGAGUAAGUAGUGUAUGGAUUGGUUAUACUUACAAUUGAGAUUCGAUCAUUUGGGUAAUGCUUGUAGGCAUUUGUAUAAUUUUGCCCAUUUUGCAGCAUAGUAUAGUUCAACUUAAGCUAGUAUGUGCAUGUACAAAGCUCAUAACUAAUAUAUUUGAUAUUAGUUAAUAUUAUGAAUUGAUAUGGCUAGUUGUGGCUUAAAUAUGCACACGUGGGAAAGCUUAUAGAAAGGAUGUAUUGUUGUAAGCUAAGUAUAUGAAAGUGACAUAUGAUUGAUACUUAUUUAGGUAUCUAAAUGCCUUAUUAUAUAGUCAUAAGGUUCGACUAAUAGAAUUAUAAUGUAUAUGUAUUAUGAUAUGAUGUUUUAUAAUAGUAAAAUAUGUUUGGUUAGUUGGUUAAGUGGUACACAUGUAUGAUUGUUAUAGAUUGAUGACCAUAUGGUUUGAAUUUGGUAAUUAUGGAACUAGUUCAAUUUGGUUUUUCGUAAGUUACCUUGAUGAAAAAUUUGAUUUGGUAAUCGGAAUGAAAUUGGUUGAAUUUUGAUAUAUGCUUUAUUUGUGAUAUAUGACUAUUAAAGUAUGAUUGAUUUGGAUUGGCUUUAUGAUUCAUAUGUUCGAAUUUAGUAUAAAUGAUUUGUGGACAUUCAAGUUUAAUAAUGUUAUAAUUGUAUCUUGAUAAUUCGGUACAUGAAAGUAAAAUAUGACUUUGAUGUAUGUUAGUUAAUAUUACUUAUUGUAUGUUUAGAAAUGAAUGACUCUCUGAGCUGUAUUUUGAUUGGUAAUGCCUCGUAACCCUAAUCUAGUGAUGGAUACGAGUUAGGGGUGUUACAUCUAUGUAUUUUAUUGAUGUCGCUCUUUUAUAGUGACAUUGUAGGUCCACAGAUGAGAAACAAGGUGGAGCCACAAUUGGGACUUGGGAGGAGUUUCAAAAAGAAUUCAAGGGGCAAUUUUACCGAGAAUAUGUCGAGGAUGAGGCUCAGGUUAAGUUGCGUCGACUUACGUAACAAGGCAUAAUCAGGGAGUAUAUGAAGGAGUUUAGUGGAUCAUGUUCUAUAUUUUUUAUUUGGGUGAGAAAAAGACAUUUUUCUCCCUUAUGGAUAGGCUGAAACCUUGGGCGGAGCAACAAUUGCAACGUCGAGCAGUCAAAGAACUUAUCAAAGCAAUGAUCGUAGCAAAGUCCUUAAUUAAGUUUGUUCCGAGGAAAGACGAGUUCAAGUCUUCCAAGACCAAUGAGACGGGUAAUGUUGUGGGAGACAAAGAAUGACAUGUUAAAAAUGACAAUGGUGAAAAUGGUGGUAAUGAGAAACUACAAAAUAAGAAGUGAAUCCGGAAGGCCCCUAUAUUAUAGGGAUUAUAUCAAAUUAGUCUCUCUAUAAAUGUACAAUUUAGUCAAAAAGAAUCAAAUAAGCCUUAAUUGUAAUAGAGUGAUCUAUCAAGUAUAGUCACCUUUUCUAAAACCAUUAGUUUGAAGUCAUUUUCAUUCUCUCUUCUUGAUAUGUCUUCUUGUUUUUUUUAAUUAUUUUGAAGGAUUAUCUUCAAUCCCAACCUUUAUUUUUUAAAUGUCUUCUUUUUGGUUAUUAUAAAAAAUCAUCUUCAAUCACAAUCAAAUUGGAAUCUUCAUUCUUUUUAAAAUUUUUGAGGUAACUAAUAGUCCUUAAACUUCUUCAAGCUUUUGUAACACCCCUUAAAUUUUACAGUAUGGUAAACAACACUAUUCUAAGAAUCACUACAAUGAAUUUUUGAGAAAAUUCAAUAAUGAGAAAAUAAAGAGAGUUUUUAGAAGGGACUAUAAUUAUUUAUUUUUGGAAAUCAAUGAAGUAAAUUUGGUAUGUGGAAUUGUGAAAAAAAUGACUAAAUUGUAAAAUUAAGAAAGUAAGAGAACUAAAGUAUAAAGUAACUAAUUUGAGAAAUUAUGGAUUGAUAAUGAUUUGUAAAUAUUAAGCCGACAUGAGACAUGUAUUAUCAAGGAAAAGCAAGUUUGGACUUAAUUGAAUAAAAUGAAAAGUAUAGGGCUCAAAUUACAAACUUCUCAUUUUGACUAGAAUAUAGGUAAAAGUAUCAUUUUCACCAUUUAUGGACUUAUUUAAGGGAUAUAUUUGAAUUUUGAUUUUUUGUUUGGAUAAGUGCUCAUUGUUGUAAAGAAAUUGUACAAAUAAACAAAAAGAAUAAUAUGAUAAGUUUGCCAUAAUCGGAUACUUUAGUCAUUUAUCAAGUACUUUACGAUGGAAAUAUUAUUUUAUUGGUAUUUUUAAUGUAUGGAAUUAAUUUGAAUUUUUAUGAUGAUAUGAGAGAAGAUAUAAAGUGUUAAGUGUCAUAUUUGGUAUUAAUUAAAGAGAAGUGAUAAGAGAAGGGACAAAGGUACAAUUUUACCAUUAAAAAUAUAUUUUGGGACUUAUCAUGAAUAUUUUAAUGAAAUUAUGGACUUUAUUUUAAUUGUGUUAUUAUGAGAAAAUUUAUGGUCAUAUAUUCCGGAUUUUUCAUUCAUGAAUCAAGGUAGAUUACUUGAGGUGAAUCUAGGGAGGCUGGCAGGGGCCCCGACCUCCCCUAAAAUGAAAAAUUGUUGUUUUAGCCUUUUAGAAAAUUUUAAAAUUUUAAAUUAAUAAAUAUAAAAUUGCACUUUUGGUGCCUCCUAAAAUUAUAAAAAUUUAAUUUAAUCCUUUAAAAAUUAUAAAGAUAUAGACUAUUAAAAAUUAAAAUUUCAUUUCGGCUCUCCCUAAUUUUUUUUUUUGGUUUCACCUAUGUAGACUACCCAUUUAAAAAUUUGUUUGACUUUGACUAAUCAAAUUAUGAUUUUUUUCCUCUCAUGUGUCGUCCCUCUCUCCUUAAGAAUUGAAAAUAUAUGUCGAAUAAUAUAAAUAUGAAAAUUGCCUCAACCUACUGCAAUUAUCUAAGGAGUAACCACUUCCUCAAGCACUCAUCUAAUUUUUCUAUAAUUUUCAGUAACUUCAAUAACUUCAAAUAUUUGUUGAGGUUUAGGAUGAAUAUUGUGAAGUGUUUUUUUAGGGAUAAUGAAUACAAAGCAAUUUAUGAGAAAAAAUGGAAUAUUACAACAAACACCUAAAAACAGAAACAAAUGUUGGCUAGAAAAUAUAAAAGUUUAAGCCAAUCGAGUCUUAGCUCGAUUGGUAUAGGUAUGUUGACAAUGCAGGAAGACGUGAGUUCGAGUGCGAUGAAAUGCAUUAUCUUCCUAUUUAUGGGUUGGGAUAGGACUAUGAGUAGUUCUAGAUAUUGUGUCAAAAAGAGCAGAUAUGAUCAGAACUUAUAAUGAGAUUGUUCAAAAAAAAGAAUUUUAUCGGGUGUUAGUAUAAGUGGCAUAAAACCAGUGAAUAGAGUUAACAAUUGAACCUGAAUUUUAAAUUUUAAAAAAUACAAGUACUAAAUUCCUAAAAAUACAAAGACCAAGUUCUUAACUUUCAAAAAGUACAAGGACUAUAACCACAUUUUAACCUUUCAUUAAUUAAAGGUUUGUCAAAGUUGAAGCUUAAUUCAAUGAUCUAUGUUAUAAAAUAUAUCUUAACCCGGCCACCUUAAGCUUUUAUUAUGGUCUAUUAAUUUAUGUUCACGACCACCUUCAACUUUUUUAUGAUCCACUAAUUUACAAUCAUAAACUUAGACUUUCUUACAGUCUAUUGAUUUAUGAUCAUGACCUUUUACUUACGAGAUUUUAUUAAUCUCACGGUCCGCUAAUUUACGAUCAUGACAUUUUACUUACAAGAUUUUAUGAAUCUCGCAAUUAGCUGAUUUACGAUCACAAAAUUUAACUUUCUUAUAAUCCACUAAUUUACAAUCACAACAUUUUACUUACAAUUUGCAAUAGUCAAUAAAUUUUCGAGUUCAAACUUGCUUGGUAAACCCUUAGUUACAUGUAUGCGUGUAAAUUUAUCUCCAAAGACUCAAUUUAUAACUCUACUUCAAUAAGUUAGGAGACAAAUUGUUAUAAAAUAAUCUUAACCUGACCCAAGAUCCAAUUCAAAAUCCAAGCCGGAAGAAACCACCUUAUAUACAUUUCUAAAUACCCUCUUAAGAAUACCGACUCGAGAGAAUAUCUUUUAUCUUCCUCUUCACCCUAACAUAUUUUUUCUCCCUACCCCACCCAACCAGAAACUGUAACAACAAUCUAUAUUGUAAACUGGGAAUAUCAAAUUGCUCUAAUCAUGCAAAUAAGUUGUUAGUUUUAGUUGCCUUAAAACAACUUUUGUACCGAUAUUUAUAAAUUUAUUUAUAUUUUAUCUAUAAUAUACCAACAGAACUUUAUGGUGUUCAAGUAAAAGCACCAAGAAAAAUGCAAUCAAAUGUCUGACCCAACUCCAUCCCCAACCAGUGGUUAAACCAAAUCCUUCAGUUAGCAAUUCCAGAUUCAGACAAAACACACGACUGUGCUACGUCUUUCCUAACUCGACCACAAUCACACUAAUGUUGUCUUUGCUACCCCUAGACAUUGCGAGUUCAACCAACACCGCCGCUGCUUCAGAAGCGCGGUUUUGAUUCAAAACAUCAGCUGUUUUGCUCCUUAUUUGGCCGUUCAGACAUCGCCUUACCACUCGACACGCCACCUCAUUCGAUACCACAUCCCAAAGUCCGUCACUAGCCAGUAUCAGGAACUCGUCACCAUUCGUUACCUCUCGUACGGUCACUUCCGGUUUGCAUAUCACAAAGGGUUUGAGGUACUGAUUACCUGCUUGCAUUCCAUUCCAAAUUACAUUACAUAUGAAUAGAAUAUUAUGUACGUAAUUGCAAAUAUAUUUGGUUACCUAUGGAUCUUGAAGUGGCCAGUACUCCAAGCACUCGAUAUCCAUUCCAGUUUAUGACCCUUCCACCAGCAGCUUCAACUCUCUCCAACUCAUCAGGCCUGUCGGGCUUUGCAAAAACAAAGUGUCAACAUGGGAGGCCACCACCACUACCUGCCCCUUUAUCUUCGUCCUUAAGCUCAGUAUAAUAUGCUAUUGAAUAAUUUUUUUUUUCAUUCCAAUAAAAUCCGUAGGACCAAGUUCUAUACUUAUAAAAGCUGUACAUCGCAAUAAUAACAGUUUGGAAGGAGCGACAAUAGAUAGUAUAUAAACAUAAUGAUUAAGCAUGCAUCAAUAUAGGUCAAAGUAGAGGCAAAGAAAACAAGUGUAAAGAAAAAGGGGGCAAAUUGAAAGAGUUGUAAAGUUAAAUUAGUAUAUAAAUAUAAGCAUCAUCCUUGAUUACCCUAAAGGGAUGGCGAGCUUAAUCCUCUUAUUGCUAAUUAGACAUUAUUUGUGGAAAACGAAGAGCUUCAGUCUAGCUUUGAGAUUCAGAUACUUCCACUCAUUUCCCAUAUAUAUGAAGUUACACCUCCAUCGAAUUGAAGAUUUCAUGGUUUCAUAGUUUCCAAUUAAAUCUUUAAGAAUAUUCAACAGGUUGAGUCCAUAAUAAUUUUCAUCAGAAGCAAAAGCUAUAAUUUGGGAGCCAGGGGUGCUUAAGCAAGCGACUCUAUAUCUUUUAUACAAAGCCUUCUCUUGGCUUAAACAUUCGAACAAGGUAUAGUUGGAUUCAGCUGGUUGGGAUCUAUAAUCUUUUAGGCCGCUGAAACUUGGUUGUUCCUCCGCGAAUGGAAAGGCAGAUAAAUUGAGAUCUAAAAGCUGCUGCCAGAGGCAACGGCCGGGAACGUAGAAGUCAAUCCGUUGAGCUUCAUAAUCUAUGUGCUUCACCAAUAGCUUCAGCGAACGUGGUAUCUUCAGCAGGGUCUGUUUGUUUUCUGAGCAGGAAAGCUGAAACCCAGGAUGAGGAUAGCCGCAGUGGGGAGACUGCUGGCCUUCUAAACGGAAGGGGAAACGGACAGGUGGAUCCUGGUGGUUGCACCGCCGCACCUUGCAGUCGUCUUGGAUUGGCACUGCUUCUGCAACAUUCACAGCUAAGAUAAAGCAGAAUAACGAGUAAAUUAACAUUGUUCUUACUAACUUGUGAGCCCCUGAAGUGAAACGGGCUUUAAAUAGUUUCAUUGACAUAGGUGGUUCAGCCCUUGAGAGUUCCAAUUAUGCACGCAACGCAGCUGCUGCUUUACUACAUAGCUUUGUCUCGUUUAACAGGGUCUUCAACUCUUCGUCCUCUCUUUGUCCUCUUUUAUGAGUAAAUGUUGGACAUGUUUGAUUGUUAGCAACCCUUUCUAACCUUGUUACUAAUUUUCUUUUAUUCCCGUUAGUUGUAGUAAAAUUUGAGGAAAAAACACUGAACAUGAGAAUGACUACCGAUUUGCUGUUGUGAUCAUAGUGGGGUCAGCUUGACUGACUUUUGUUUUUCCACCUUCGUUUCACUACAUUUUGUUUGGUAUGACUAAGAAGUUGACUGACUUUUAUGGGUUCUUUUUAAUGUCUAUCGUUUCCUUUCCAAUGUAGGUGGUUUUUUUAUCACUUUCUUUUUUUUCUAAUUUAUCUUUUAUUUUUGGAUUUUAAUUAAAAAUGGCAAAACUCGAAUCAUAUGUUUUUAAAUUACUUCUUUUAGAUACAACAAAUUUUUUAGAAGUGGAUACAAGACAAUGAGAUGAUUUUUUCCACAUGAGUAUGAAACAAUUAUAGGCAUUGUUUGCUCUACUCACCUUAUCUCGAAAUAAUCUUUUACCUUUCUUUGUAUAUAAUUAUUAAAAUGAUAAAAAUGUAAUAAUAUAUUAUAGGAAAAAUUCAUAUGUUUUAUAUUUAUAUUUUUAAAAAAUUAUGUUUAAAUAUUUUCUUGUCUUAAAAAAAGUAAAAUUAUUAAAAUAACUAGAAAUAAAAAUUAAAUUAAAGUAGAGCGAAGAAAGGUGAGAUGGGAUGGGGAUGAAUGCUUCUAAUAUCUAUGCGGUUAUAGUAAUUUUUCAGAUUAUACAUCCAAAGUGGAGAGAGGUGGGUGGUGGAGUAAAGCAUGUCAACUGUGGAGCGAUGAUGGAUUUGACAACAUUUAACCUGUCUUGCUCCAUUGCAUAAUGCUUAAUAGUAUGCCUUCUUUUUUUAUUAAAUCAUUACAAUCAAUUUUGAAUUGAUACUGUUCAGAUAAACCAAAUAGUUUCAUUUAAGUGAUAAAUCGAAACAAUAAAAUCUGUGGAUCAAAGUCUAUAAUCAAUGUGCAUAGUAUCGCCCAAUUGAUCAAAUAGGACUCUUUUAACCCUUUUAAAUUGGCAUGAGUCAUAGAACACAUGGAGAAGCCCAUCCACUUGAAGCAUUGGUGGCUCAGUGAAAUACUCCGGUAAAACUAGAGUUACCAUGGUGAAUAUUUGUAAUCCUAAGGGAUUAAAUUAUUAACUUAAUUGCAGAAAUACCAAAAUUCAAGAAUAUUUUAGUAAUUUUCUAUUUUCCUCGAAUUUCCACCCAAUCUUGAUCUAAAUUGAUAUUUCAUUCAAUUUAUUAACUUAAAUAAUAAAACAAUUCAUUUCAUGCAAUUUGGUCACUUUUUGACAUUUUUACCAAUUUACCCUUAAAAUAUUAUUUUUAUUCAAUUUAGUCCUUGAACCUAAAACAUGCAAAUUGGUUAUUUUUAAUUAAAACUCAUGCUAGUUGAACAAUCAUUUAUUUUCCUCCUCCUCCUCUCCAUUCCACAUCCUUAAUGUAUAAUAUGCUUAUAUGUAACAUUUCUAUAAUUCCACCAUUUAUUUAUAUAUUAAUUCAAAGCUAUCAACUUGAGUCAUAGUCACUAAAUCAUUUAUAUCUUUAGCUACGGAACUCCGAAUUAAGAUCCGCUAAAUUCCUAUGAAACUAGACUCGUAUAUCUUCUUACCAUAAAAUUUUAAGAAUUUUUGGUUUAGCCAAUAAGUACAGUUUAUUUUUUAAAUUUUUUCCUAUUUCACUGUUUGACAGUUCUGAACCCUCUUGACUAAAAAUUAAUUAUCUCUUUUUACAGAAUUUGGAUGAUAUUUCCGUUUUUUUCUAUUGAAAAUGGAACCAUUAAUUAUUUUAAAAAUAUAAAUUUAAGCCUAUAAUUAUUUUUAUUCAAUUUUUUAUGAUUUUUCAAAUUCAAAAUAGGGGAACCCGAAUUCAUUCUGACCUUGUCUCACAAAAUUUAUUAUAUCUCAUGAUUUACAAUUCCAUUACUUACACCGUUUAUUCUAUGAGAAACUACACUUAAUAAGCUUUAAUUCCAUGUUUUUUUCAUCCUAUAAUUCGAUUUCCAAAAUUUAUGGUGAUUUUUCAAAUUUAACCUACUGCUGCUGUCCAAAACUGUUUUAGUGCAAGAUGUUGAUUACUAAGUUUAUAACUCCCUUAUUCCCUUUCUCUAUAAUAUUUCCCAUCAUUUUCACUUAUUUCCCUUCACUAAUAUAUCAAGAACAUAAGACUUUAUUUAAGAAAACUCUACUAUAACAUCAUUUCCAUACUUUUUCAACAAUAACAAACUUAAAAAUAUAUUGAAAUCUUGAAGUUCUUACCUUGUGCUAUUGAUUUCAAUCUUUAACUUGAUUUUCUCUCUCCUCCAGCUUCUUUUUCUUGAAUCUAACUUGACAUUCUAGCUCCCCAUUGUCUCUUUAUUAUUUUUCUCUCUUGGAAGCUAUGGAAAUUCUUUUGUUUUCUAGGUGAAAAUAGUGAAUUUUUGGUGAAAGGACCAAAUUGUAAAGAAAGAAAAACUUUCUUUCUUCUCUUCUCUUCUAACGUUGGUUGCAUGGAAAGAUGAUGAUUUUUCAUCAUCUUUCCUCCCUUUUAUAUUAAUCAUCUAAUAAUAAAAUAAUACUAAAAAUCUUAAUAAAAUAUUAAUUAAAUAACAUUUAUCUAAUUAAUUAAUUAAAAAUAUCACAAACAUCAUCAUUACCUUCUAGAAUUCUCUCUCUAUUUGACCAUUUUGCCCUUUAUAAUCUUUUGAAAUUUCAUUCUUGAGUCAUCACUUAAUUUGGAAAAGUUACAAUUUAGUCCCUCAAAGUUCCUCACUUUUUCAAUUUGGUCCUAAUUCAUCCAUUUUCCUUAGUUUCUAGAUUAUUCCACCCUUAAAAUAUUUACACUAUUUGUCCUUCAAAUUUUUCAUAUUUACACUUCAACCCCUUAAAUUUUGAGUAUUUACUCUUGGGCAACAAAACUUUUCUCACGUUUGCAAUUUAAUCCUUUAUUGAAUUAAUAUAUCAUAAUAUACUUCCCAAUGUUGACAUAACUCAAUAUUACCUUUUUUAUCACUUUAUUUCCUUAUUUUACUAUAUCAAUGAUAUUAUCUUACUUUAUUACUGUAGUAAAUUUCGGGGUAUUACACAGGGAGUAUAUGAAGGAGUUCAGUGGAUCAUGUUCCAUAUUUUUUAAUUGGGUGAGAAAGAGACAUUUUUCUCCCUUAUAGAUAGGUUGAAACCUUGGGCGAAGCAACAUUUGCAACGUCGAGGGGUCAAAGAUCUUACCAAAGCAAUGAUCGUGGUGGAGUCCUUAAUUAAGCUUGUUCCAAGGAAAGAAAAGUUUGAGUCUUCCAAGACCAAUGAGAUGGGUAUUGUUGUGGGAGACGAAGAAGGACAUGUUAAAAAUGACAAUGGUGAAAAUGGUGGUAAUGAGAAACUGCAUAAUGAGAACUGAAUCUAGGAGGCCCUUGUAUUAUAGGGAUUAGAUCAAAUUAGUCUCUCUAAAAAUGUACAAUAUAGCCAAAAAGAAUCAAAUAAGUCUUAAUUGUAAUAGAGUGAUCUAUACAGUCACCUUUUCUAAAACCAUUAGUUUGAAGUCAUUUAAUUAUUCUGAAGGAUUAUCUUCAAUCCCAACCUUUUUUAUUUUGAAAUGUCUUUUUUUUUGUUAUUAGAAAAUUCAUCUUUAAUCACAAUCAAAUUGGAAUAUUCAUUCUUUUUAAAACUUUGAGGUAAUUAAUAGUCCUUAAACUUCUUCAAGCAUUUGUAACACCCCUUAAAUUUUACAGUAUGGUAAACAACAUUAUUCUAAGAAUCACUACAAUGAAUUUUUGAGAAAAUUCAAUAAUGAGAAAGUAAAGAGAAUUUUUAGAAGGGACUAUAAUUAUUUAUUUUUGGAAAUCAAUGAAGUAAAUUUGGUAUGUGGAAUUGUGAAAAAAAUGACUAAAUUGUAAAAUUAGGAAAGUUUGAGAACUAAAGUAUAAAGUAACUAAUUUGAGAAAUUAUGGAUUGAUAAUGAUUUGUAAAUAUUAAGCCGACAUGAGACAUGUAUUAUCAAGGAAAAGCAAGUUUGGACUUAAUUGAAUAAAAUGAAAAGUAUAGUGCUCAAAUUACAUAUUUCCCAUUUUGACUAGAAUAUAGGUAAAAGUAUCAUUUUCACCAUUUAUGGACUUAAAGGGAUAUAUUUGAAAUUUGCUUUUUUUUUGGAUAAGUGCUCAUUGUUGUGAAGAAAUUGUACAAAUAAACAAAAAGAAUAAUAUGAUAAGUUUGCCAUAAUCGGAUACUUUAGUCAUUUAUCAAGUACUUUAUGUUGGAAGUAUUAUUUUAUUGAUAUUUUUAAUGCAUGGAAUUAAUUUGGAUUUUGAUGAUGAUAUGAGAAGAUAUAAAGCAUUAAGUGUCAUAUUUGGUAUUAAUUAAAGAGAAGUGAUAUAAUAGAAGGGACAAAAGGUACAAUUUUGCCAUUAAAAAUAUAUUUCUUGACUUAUCAUGAAUAUUUUAAUAAAAAUUAUGGACUUUAUUUUAAUUGUGUUAUUAUGAGAAAAUUUAUGGUCAUAUAUUUUAAAUUUUUUGUUCAUGAAACAAAGUGGACUACCAGAGGUGAAUCUAGGGGGGCUGGCAGAGGUCUUGACCUCCCUUAAAAUGGAAAAUUAUUGUUUUGGGCCUUUAGAAAAUUUUAAAAUUUUAAAUUAGUAAAUAUAAAAUUACACUUUUGUCCCCCUAAAAUUAUGAAAAUUUAAUUUAAUCCUUUAAAAAUUAUAAAGAUAUAGACUAUUAAAAACUAAAAUUUCAUUUCGGCUCCCCCUAAAAAUUUUUUUUGGCUUCACCCCUGUGGACUACCCAUUUAAAAAUUUGUUUGACUUUUGACUAAUCAAAUUGUGAUUUUUUUCCUCUCAUGUGCCGUCCCUCUCUCCUUAAGAAUUGAAAAUAUUUGUCGAAUAAUAAUAGAAAUAACAAAUCCUUCUUCGAGAUGUCCAGUGAUUUCUGUGUUCUUUUUUUUUAAUGAGAUAAAGGAAUUAAUCAAGAUGUGUGUGCAAGAAAUUGAAGAAUUUGGAAACAAGUGUAGAAGAAUUUUAGGAACAUUGUGGAGUAUUCAAUGAAAUUCUCAAGAGAAAAGAUAGACAUAUAUUGCCAAUCCAAUAAAAGUAAAAUGAGAUUCCGAAAAUGUUUAAUAAUGAAUCAUUUGUAAAGGAUGAAAGUGAAGUGAGAUUAUCUUGAAGUAGACAUUACGGAGGAAAUAGUACUCAUUAAAGCUAGAAAAAAAAAGUUAAGUGUUGAUCGUUGACACUAAGAAAGUGUAUCACAAAGGAAGUGCGAAGAAGAGAUACAAGUAUUCGAAGAUGGUAAUAAAGACUUACGAGGAUUGGAAAGUGAUAAUUAAUGGAAACCAUAUAAGAGAGGUGAAAUAUAACAUUCUAAAGCUUGACCUAGAAACCUAAUCGAAUUUGGAGUGUUAUUGUGGUCAUCAGAGCAACCUGCAUGAUCAAUCGUUCAUUCAAUCACAUUAAAAUAUAAAAAAAUUAGACAUACACACAACAAGUCAUUUAACAAAACUUAAUCAUAUAAUCAUUGAGUUCCUAAAUCAAAAUCAAAACACCCAAACUGACCAAUUAGCAAAUCCUAAGUACAUGUCAAACUAUACUAUUUCAAGGGUUUUUACAAAAUAAGAAUUGCGGAGACUCUGAGGCGAUGUCUGCUCUGACUCAAACUCACAAACUAUUUGAUCCAAAUAUUACCUAUGCACGGAAUUAAUAACCCGUACAUCGGGCUUUUCAGAGCUUGGUGGAGACCAAAACAGUCUAAACUACUAAUGCAUAUAAUUGAAAAUAAAAACAUUUUAAUCAAAUACAACUAUAUAUAUAUGCAAUAAUUCGAGGAGUGAAAGUCACACUCAAUAAAAAUUGUCAGAGACGCAAUACAAUCAUGAAUCAGUCACAAAAUAACAUUUAUGUAAUAGCCCAAUUUUGACCUUAAUCGGAUAUAGUGGUUUCGAAACCAUGAAUUCGAGUCAGAAAAAUAUUUUUUAUAUUAUUUUUAGUGUUUAUUAUAUUUUAAGUUAUAGGUGUGAAAAAUUCGUGUGGAAAUUUUAUUGUUUAAAGGUUCAAUUUGAUAAAAAAUGAUUUAAUCGCGUAAAAUAAAAAUUUAGAGGUUAAAUUUUAAAAGCACUUAUUUGUUGUUGUCUUUUUAAGUGGGAGGUCUAGAGAUGUAAUUAGACCAAAAUAUAGUUAGUGGAUGACAUAUGACAACAUUGUCCCUUACAUAUAUGUUUUAUAUAUUUAUUAUAAUAAGGUUAAUUAAGUAAUUUAAUAAUUAUAAUGUAUAAAUGUUAAAAUAAACUAAGAAAAGAUGAUUUUUAUCAUCUUUGAAAGCCGAAUGUGUAAGAGAACUCAUGCAUGGUUUCUUGUUGAAUGUUCGGCACUUUUAAAGACAAAUUAAGGUAUGGGUUGGUUUCAGUUUUUGAUAAUUUUUACGUUUUUGAGAUCGUUGUUUCGAAUACUAUCCGACCCAUGUUUGAAUUUUUAAUUUUGAUGAAUAUUUUGAGUUGUGCCAUUGAUGAACAUUUGUGUUAUGUGAUGUUUGAUGAUGAAUAAUGAAAGAUACAUUUUAGAUUAAUAUGUUUUGUAUUGGAAGUUUUGGUGAAAUUGAGUAAUUAGAGUUAAAUUGUGAAAUUAAAUUUUUGAGGGAUUAAAAUGUGAAAUAAAUGAAAUGUGAGGAUUGGUAUGAACAAUAGGUACAUUCGGCCCUUAAGGAGUGUAGUCAAAAUUUGUGUAUUUUGUGUUUUGAGCAAAAAGGAUUAAAUUGUAAAAAGUGUGAAAUGUUAGGGGCAAAAUUGUAAUUUGCCCAUAUAUAUGUUCUUAGACUAAUUGAAUGAAAAAAAAAUGUUUAAAUGAGAUUUUUUUGAAUAUGUUUAGAUCAAGAAACCAAGAAAUCGAAUUUAGAUCGGGGGAAAUCGAAAGUAGUUGAGUAGCCGAUCUAUUAGUCGACGACAUCCGAGGUAAGUUAUUAAGCAUAUAUAUAUAAUUGUGUAUUUUUAAAAUCAGCUUAGUAUUUAUGUAAUUAUGCUGAAUUGAAUGAUAUAUAAAUAUACAUGUAGUGAUAAAAUUAUUGAAAUAAGAUAUAUUGAGUUGUUGACUUUUGACACUAAGUGUGCGAAUUUAAUUGUAAAGCACUAAUUGUGCAAGUUUAAUUGAAAAGCACUAAGUGUGCGAGUUUAAUGGUAAAGCACUAAGUGUGCGAACUUAUUAAAUAUUUUCGAAUAACUAUUAGCAUUGAGUAUUUGUUUUUUUUUUUUUUGAGAAAUUAUGAUUAGUAAAAUGAGUAAAUACUUGGAAUUUUUGUGGUUGUAUUUAAGGUUAAGCUUUGUAGGUAUUAAACCUAUGUGGUGAUUAUAUUUGGAAUUAUAUAUAUAUAUAAUAUGAUUCUUUAUAUUACAUGGUGAGGAACUGCAUAAUGUAUUUGGUCUUGUGAUUAAAUUUGAAGAAAUGUUUAUGGUUAUGUAAUUAUAUUGAUUUAGUUAAAUCAUAGUAAUAAGUGAAUAAUUAUCUUAUGAUAUGGUAAGCUAAAGGUAAGAUGAUUUAGUAGUAUGAAUUGGUUGAAUAUUAUUUAAGAUAUCGGUUUAAAUAGUAGAGUUUAUUUGCUUAUAACUUACUAAGCUAAAUUAGCUUACAAUGUGUUGGAUAAUUGUUUUUUUUUUAUGUAUAGAUUUUGGUGAUUGCUACGUGUUCGGGGAUCGUCAGCUAAGUUCGUCACACUAUCGAUAUUUUCUUUUGGUACUUUACUAAAUCGUUUUCAAAUAUAUGGCAUGUAUAGCAUAGUUAAAAUAUUGAAUUUGGAACUAAUGUGUAUAUGUAUUUAAAAGCCAUGCGAAAGAGGCUUAUAUAUAUUUUUUUUUUUGGACUUGAAUUUGGUUUGGAUGCAUGUGUUUAAUGAUUAUGAGUGUGGUAUAUGCUUAUGGUAUUAUUAUAUGGAGGGAUUAUUUGUUCUUGGUAUAUAUAUAUAUUGGGCUACAAUGGAAUUAAUGAAUAGUUAAUUAAAGUUAGUUGCAAGAUGUGUACACGUAUGGUUGUGUAAAAAAAUGUGGAUUUCUAACUUAAAAAUGUGUGAGAGUAGAUAUUAAUAAGCAUGCUAUAUAUAUAUAUAUAUAUAUUCAUAUAUGUGCAUGGUAUGUUUGAUUUUGGUAUGUUAAGGGUUUGGCAUUGUAUAUAGGUAAUGACUUAAAAUAAGUCUAGUUCAUGACUAGCUGCUUAUUAAAUUAUGUUUAUAAUAAUUCGGUCUUAACUUAGCUCUGCUUUGAAAUUAUGUGAUAUGAUUUGAAUGGUUAUGUUUAAUUUGAUUUUAUAUGUGACUAUAAGAUUCGGCCAUGAUGUAAUAUUAUUAUGUAUGUAUGUAUAUAUAUAUAUAUAUUCAUUUGAUUAGUAAUAGAUAUACUUAUUAAUGCCGCAUAUGAAAUAGAGGAUAGGUUUUGUAACAUAUUUUGUUUAGUCCAUUAAGUACAUGUUUAUUAAUAAGCAUAAAGAUGAUAAAAAAAAUCAUUAUAUAUAUUUUUUAUACCAUUUUAAUGAUAAACACACGAUUCGUGUAUUUAUUUUGAAGCAUAAGUUGUAUGGAUUUAAGGCAUGAUUUUUUUUAAGGUGUAAAUAUGAUUAUAUUCAUGAGAUACUAUAUUUGUUUUGUGAUUAAUAAUGUAUGUAUAAUUUGUAAUUAGUCUCUUUUUUUUCAGUAAUACCUCAUAACCCUAAUCUGGCGACGGACACGGGUUAGGCGUGUUACAAUUUAAAAUAACAAUAAAACAAUAUAAGACAUUCAAUAAAUAUCGAUGGUGUUUUGAUUCAAUGUUCAAGUUCAUUAAAUAAUUUUUCUCAAAUAACACAAGAAGGAAAGAUAUUCGAACACACGAGUGUCCAACCAAACACCAAAUGAUCAAUGAAAUUAGUGCAAGUGCCAACAAUAACAAUAUUCCAUUGGGAGAUAAUGCAACUUAGUCUAUAAUCAACCAUCACACUAAAUGCACAAAACGCAACAAUGACAAUGCUCCUGAAUGCUUAAGACAGUUCCACAAUAAACAAUGAUGGAGAUUCCUCCACCUUACGAGAUGUGGCUUAUACCAAAACAUUUCAAUUAUUAAAAUAGUAAUUAACAAUGAUUUUCGGAACAUAACCAAUUAAUAAAAAUAACAUUUUAAAAAUAGUAACCAUAAUUAAAAUCAAUUUAAUAAACUGCCACACAAGUAAAAAUUCAUAUGCAAGGAAUCAAAAUAUCAGUCCACUAAGCCAAUAAUUUAAUUGCAACAUUAACAUAAUUUAAAACGUAACGAUUACAAACUAAUUUUUUAAAUGUUGGUUGCUUAGGAUCACAUGCACUAUAAACGUAAGGACCACCGUUGAAAGCCAUGCAAAAAUCUACAAUUUUAUAUUUAUAUGUGUAUAUAUACACAUAUACAUAUACACGUAAACACUAUAAAUCAUGCCAACCAUUAACAAAGCCAUGCAAAUAUUUAUAUUUAUAUAUUUCAUAUAUUUAUACAUUCACAUGCACAUAACUAAAUACGACAUCAUGCAAAUAUAGUUAUGUACAGAAUAUUGAUAUAUUAUCUCAUUAAUUUUAAAAAUAAACAACACCAAAAGACCAAGCUUUACACUACUCACACGACAUAACAUUGGUUUCACGAAUCCUCAAAGCACUACUCCCUCUGGGCUUUCUACGAUUUAACAGCAACCUGCUUUGUCUUUAUUUGGUUGUGGCUUCUAUGCAGAUUAGACGAGAGGCUUCAAUGGAUGAUAUAAAAGAGGUGGUGUUGGUCAGUGGUGGGCAGAGGUGGCCUGAUGUCGGUGCAAGGAGAUCAACGGUUAGGACCAGGGUGACUGUGGAGCGAUGAGAUGUUGGGGCGACGGAAGAACUCACGAUGGCGAUGAGAGGGCGGACAAUGGUGCAUUGAUGGAGAUGACUCCAAGGCAGCGUGAUGAAAGGGAGGGACGACUUGGGGCAGUUGGCUGACGGUGUGGCGACUAAGAGGAUCGGUGCUUAGUGAUGGAAUGAAGGAGACAAUGCCUGACGUUGGGGAGUGAAAGGUGGUAAUCAGUCUUUUAUUAGGGGUAGAAUUCUACAAAAGAAGGGUUUUGAUAGUAGGAAAGUUUGACCAAAUGUGUAUUCUUUCUUAGUUGUAACUCUGAAACCUAAUUGAUGAUGAUGAUGAUGAUGAUGAUAGAGCACACACGCCCAGGCCACCACUCUGUCAACUAAGUUGUUUAAGGGCUAAUUCCAAUAUUUGUCCCCAAUUAAUUGCUGAGGUUUCAAUUUAAUCCAUAAAUCAAGAUCAAAAUUCAAUUAGUCUUAAAAUUAAACUAAAAAAUCAAAUAAGUUCAUAAUACACAAAAAAUCACUAAAAAUAUAAAUUUUAUCCUAAUGUUCCAAAAUUCCGAAAAUAUAUUUAUCGAACUUAUCUCGAUUUUGUGUGAAAUCAUAGUUGGAAAUUUUGGAGUGUUUCACGAAAUUAUCCAUCAAAGUGCCUUAAGAAGUAGUAGUCGAGUAGUGCGUUGUUAAAAGUUCCUAGAAAGAUGUUAACAUUGGAUAUUAAAUGAGCAUCGUGGAUGGAAAAGAGGACAUCAAAAUACGAGUAUAGAGAUUUGUAGCUUGCUACCAGAGGCAAAGCUAGUUGCUGGUAGGGCUUGACCUCCCUUUAAAUGGAAUAAUUUCAUUUAUACUCUUAUAUAGUUUAUAAAAUUUUAAAUUAGUAAUAAAAAAAUUUAUACUUUGACCUCCUUUAAAAAUUAUAAAGAUAUUAUAAAAAUAUAUAAUUUAAUUUCACCCCUAAAACAAAUUUUUGGUUUCCCGGAUUAUAGAAAAGCUAUAAUCGUGUUAUGAAGUGAUAAUGGGUAAAUAAGUAUAAGAGAAAUGAGUUGAAAAGUAGGAAGAGAGAAGUAUGUAUUUGGUAUUGAGAUCAUAUGAGUUGGGAAGUUAAAUCGUGGGUUGACGUGAACGGAUAAGGCACGCAUUGGAUGUGUGGGAAGAGAUUUAAGUCAAGAAGAAAAGUGACAGUAAUUUGAAGUAAACAAUGAAGGUUAUGCACAUGCUCAAAAGGAAAAGUUAUGAUCAUUUGAUGGGGAUGAGUCAAGAUAAGAUAGCCAAUUAAAGGUGCAAAAUUAACCCAAGUUGAGAUGAAUAUGGUGAAUAUAAGCUUGUUAACCCAAGUUGAGUGACAUGUCAAGUUAUAACAAUCAAGUGAAAAUGAUUGAUGUGGUAUAUUAAAAUUAUAUGUUAGUGACAUAUAUGGUAUGGAAGACAUUAGAAGAUAAGAAACUUAUGAUUCGUGCUAAGGUUAAGAUUUAUAGAUAUUUGAUGAAUCAAAGGACAUCUUGUGCAAUGUGAAAGAUAAAGAGGGAAAUUUAUUUAGGGUUCAACAUUUAAGUGAAGCAAAUUAUAAGGUUGUGAAAACCGUUAAAAGGAUAAAAUGUAAAUUUUAGAAUAUAAAAAAAUUAAAUUGAAUUAAUGGAAAAAAAAAUGACAAAGAGGUAAUUUUUACUUAAUUUACUUUACUGAAAGUAAAUGGAUAAUUAUGGAAUUAGAGAAUAAAGAAAAUUGGGGAAAAAAGAAGGAGGAGGAGGAGAAGUGUUGUCAUGAUUAUGACCCUUGGAUAUUAUGGAAGAGGUGAAGAAAUAAUUGCAAUUGGAUAUUAAUUAUGAUGAUGGGAUUUUUAUUAAUGUUUUAAUUAUAUUAAUUGCUAUAUGGCCGUGUGUCAAGCCAUGUGGCUCAAAUGAACGUGUGGAAGAGGUCAGUCUAUGUGGCUCCUGUACUUGUUCUGAUUUUCGAUUCUUGAUAAGUGUCAAAAGUAACAUAUUUUAAUCUCAUUCUUAAUUCAUUUUUAGAUGAUUAAUCAAUGCAAAACGGUAAAAUUUAUGCUCAUAAUCCUUUAAAUUCAUAUUUCUAUACUUAUAAGAGCAUUUGAGAGAAAAAUUAGUGAAAACGAAGCGAAAAUCAAAAAAUUGGAGCAGAUUUCAAGAGCCACACGAGUUGGACACAUGGUCAUGUGAGCCACACGGGCUGCCACACGGCCAUGUGCCAGAUAGAGACACAUGGUCAUGUGAGCCACACGCCAUGUGCCAGAUAGAGGUGCUCAUGGGCCGGGCCCGGCCGGGUUCGGGCCGGGCCCAUAAAAAAUUUCGGCCCGGGUCCUAGGCCCGGCCCGACCCGGCCCGAAAUAUGGGCCUAAGAUUUUGCCCAGGCCCGGCCCGGGAAAAAAAUCAUAAGCCCGGGCCCGGCCCGUCCCAUUUUUAUUUUAAAAAUUUUAAAAAAAUUAAAAAAAGUAUUUUAAAAAUAUUUUAAAAUUAAAAAAAAAUUAAAAAAGUAUUUUGAAAAUAUUUUAAAAUUAAAAAAUUUUUAAAAAGUAUUUUAAAAAUAUUUUAAAAUUAAAAAAGUAUGUAAAAAAUAUUUUAAAAUAAAAAAAAAUAUUUAUUAUAUCGGGCAGGGCCGGGCCCGGGCCGAAAAAGUGGUGCCCGAGGCCCGGCCCAUUUUCUAAACGGGCCUCGUUUUUUUGCCCAAGCCCAUAUUUCGGGCCUAUAUUUUUACCCAAAUCCUCUCAUAUUUCGGGCGGGCCGUCGGGCCGAGCCGGGCCACCCGGCCCAUGAGCACCUCUAGUGCCAGACCGUGUGGAUUUCGCAUUUCACACUCCAAAUAUGUGGAAUCACGCAAUUUUUAAGUUUUUCGGGCAUUCUUAGACCUAUAUAUACCAAAUAUAUGGAGAGAAGUAAGAGCCGUCAGAGAAUAUUGAAGAAAACAACUCAAAAGACAUCAUUGAAGUCGACUUUGAAACAAAUUUCUACUAAGAUUGAAGAUCUCCUUUUGAUUUCUUUGAAGUUUAUUAUGAGUUUUUUUAUUUCUUGUGGUUAUACUGUCUUUGAGAUGUUUUUACUCUCGAUUAUGAACUAAUUUUCUAAAGAUGAACCUUAUGACAAAUUUUGUCUUUUGACUUCUAUUUUAUGCAAUGAAUAAUUAAAUCUUGUUCUCAGUUAUGUGUGCUAAAUUUUUUAUUUAAUAUUUUCAAAUUAUUAAUUCAUGUUUGAUAUGCUUAAUUCAGAGUAGAUCUAGCAUAAUUCAAUGGAGUUGCAUGUAAUCCUAGAAAUAGGACAACAUAAAUCUACCCUGUUAGAGUCAAAUCUAAUAGAAGAAUUCAUAAAUCGAGUCGGUACGAUAAUAGGGAUUUCAAUUAAUCCGUAAAUAUCCCAAAAUAAUAUUCGACUUAUACGAUACAUUUCUAAAGUUGCGAAAGAGUACCUUGGGUGCAAUAUGGCCCAUGGUACCUCUAACUGUUGUCAUUGAAAUAGCAUUUUGUUCCUUGGAACACAAUUUAGCAAGGCCUGAAUGGAGGAUACGUUACUAGCCUUGAUGCAGGUACUCGAUGCCUUUGGUUACACCGACAAUAAUAUCCUGAAGUUUUUCCCAACUAAGGGAUCGAUCCGUACCCUUAGCUUGCAAAUAUGAACUUCUUUAAUGACUCGUUUGGUAGGUAUUCAUAAAUGAGAACUCAGUCAUAUCCAUCGACACAAAACUCAACCAGGCAUGUCACAUUCACAUGGUGGAUUCUGCCCAUCGAACCCACCUCAUUGAUGAACUCUCAAUAUUUAACUAAAGUUUGCUUUUUUACUUUUUUUUUUAUUUUCAUUUUUAAGAAAAUGUUAUUUUAUUAAUUCAAUUAUCAAAAUUAUUAUUAUUUUAUUUAAAUUAGAUUAAUCCUCAUUUAAUUAUUACAAGUAUAUUAUUUUAAAAUUAUAAAAAUUAUUAUUUAAUAAUUAAACAAAUAAACAUUUAAAAUCACAUACAUUACAUUAAAAACUAGUAUAUCUAAAUAUAUAUUUUACCACUUAUUUUAAUCUUGUUAUUUUUAAUUUCAUCAAAAUUAUUAUAUAUCACUCGAGCCACUGCGACUGCUGACCGGUGAUUAUUGCCUGCAUAAUUUGAUGAAAGGUUCUGAAUUAAUACAUCCAAGACUUUUAUGAGCAUCGCCAUUGACUGACCGACGACUUGUAUGAAAGAAUUUUCCACGUACGUUAGCUUUAUUACUGGACUGAUUUUUCAAAGAAAGACUUGCUCUCAAUUGGAGCCAUAAAACAAAUGAAUGAUUGGCAUUUUACAUUAAAGAGCAUCCCAUUGUUUAUUUCUUCAUCGGAGCUCCACCGGAACUUGAUGAUGUUAAGACCCAGACUUUUCUUGUUUAGCAUCUUUGCCCUUACUUUAUCUCUAUCCCCAGAUGUUUCCGAUGGUAGAGCAGGCAAAAGCAACCACUGUGGCCCAUCUUUGUGUGGACACGUUAAUAUCAGACACCCUUUCCGACUAAAAGGUCAGCCUCGUCGAUGUGGUGACCGUAGGUAUGAAUUAGAAUGCAAGAGAAACCGCACCAGUUUUCCCAUGAAAUACGGAAACUUUUAUGUCCUAAACAUCUCUUAUGUUGACCGAACGCUUCGACUUGUGGAUGUGAGUCUGGUCGAUGAAAACUGCUCAAUUCCUCGCAGUUCCAUUGUCUAUUAUCCAUACAGCUAUCAAGAAGACAUAAAUUAUGGAAGACACACCAUGUAUCUGGUAAAUUGCACGACAAGGAUGAAGUCUUCUUCAGUUUAUGUCGAUGCUUCUCGUUGCCCAACCAAUAGCUCUUCUUCUCCUUGGACCUACUUCUACUUUCCAGUCUCGUUUUCAAAUAUAUCCGAUUUCCAUCAUUCGUGUAGAUUUAUAGCCCAGUUUCCUGUCAUGCUUUCCAAUAUUAGUGGCUUAUCCCCUUCUUACAUUUACAAAAACCUGUUGGAAGGCGUCGAGGUGUCCUGGUAUAGACCCUUUAGUUUUUGGCCUUCAAACCCGGUUCUCAAAGUGUAAGAGACUUCGAUCUUUAGAUUCUUUCAAUCUAUAACUUUUCAAGGCCUUAUUUAUUGAUUGGUUGCUUUUUUUUUCCUUGGGGGGGGGGGGGGUUAUUCUAGCUUGCUACAGUUGGUGAUCUAUUCACUACGUCCAAUUUUAGCAUACAUAGUAAGCAAUGUGGCCUUUCUUCUACCGGGAAUCAUCGGCCAUUAUCCUUUUGGGAAAGGUUAAUCUUUCAGAUUUCAUAAGUAUCUUUAUUUAUUGGAUUUGCCCUUGAAUUGUAUUCGAGUUAGUAAUAUUAUUGUUCAAUUUGCGUUUUAAACAGGAGCCACCUUCGUUUGUCUUGCAGUAUCAGGUAAAUCUCUUUCCCUUCCCACUUUUUAUGUUAUCUUUAUAAAAUAAUCAUGAAUGCUGAUUUAUCCAUGUGUAUGCACCUUGAUGGGCAAGCAGGCAUAUUGUUAGCGAGAACUUUGUUGGGGAUAUUCUGCCUCAUUACACUUGUCAUAUGCAAACUAAAGAGGAGGCAUUUGUCGAUGGAUGAUGAUAUCGAAAACUUUCUUCAAAGUCAAAAUAAUUUAAUACCUAUUCGAUAUUCGUAUUCUGAAAUAAAAAGAAUUACGGAAGGUUUUAAAGUUAAAUUAGGUCAAGGUGGUUAUGGUUCUGUGUUUAAAGGAAAGCUUCGCAGUGGUCGGCUAGUGGCAAUAAAAAUGUUAGAUAAAUCCAAAGCAAAUGGAGAAGAUUUCAUCAAUGAAGUUGCUACUAUUGGAAGAAUUCAUCAUAUUAAUGUAGUGCAACUUAUUGGGUUUUGUGUAGAGAGAUCAAAACAAGCUCUUGUAUAUGAUUUUAUGGUGAAUGGGUCUCUGGAUAAAAUUAUAUUUUCAAAGGAGAAUUGCACUUUAAGUUGGCAAAAAUUAUUUGAUGUUGCACUUGGUGUGGCUCGAGGAAUUGAAUACUUGCACCGGGGUUGUCAAAUGCAAAUUUUGCAUUUUGAUAUCAAGCCGCACAACAUUCUUUUGGAUGAAAACUUUAUCCCUAAAGUUUCUGAUUUUGGUCUUGCAAAAUUAUAUUCAGUGGAUGACAGUAUUAUUUCUCUCACAGCGGCUCGUGGUACAUUAGGAUACAUUGCUCCUGAAUUAUUUUACAGAAAUAUUGGAGGCAUCUCAUAUAAAGCCGAUAUUUAUAGUUUUGGAAUGUUAUUAAUGGAAAUGGUGGGAAGAAGAAAGAAUUUGAAUGCAUUUGAUGAUCAUUCUAGUCAAAUUUAUUUUCCGUCAUGGAUUUAUGAUCGAUUUGAACAAAGAGAGAACAUAGAAUUAGGGGAUGUAACAGAAGUUGAUGACAAAAUAGCAAGGAAGAUGAUAAUGGUUGCAUUUUGGUGCAUACAAAUGAAUCCCACUAAUCGUCCUUCAAUGAGCAAAGUUUUGGAAAUGCUCGAAAAUGAACAUGAUCAACUUGAAUUGCCGUCCAGACCUUCACUAUUUUCUCUCGAAAAGUCGACUGAAGAUCAUGUUUGUAAGAAUGUAUCGGAGGAACCAUCAACGUCAAAAAGUUGUGUGGACAUCUAAGUAUAAUGUUUGAUUUUAUUCGGACCUUUUAUACAUAUAGUUCUGCAAGUACUGUAAGCUUUUAAUUUGUAGCAUUUCAUGCUCAGUUGUAUAAUAUCCAGCAUCAUGUAAUACGACUAUUAAUGGAUGUGUGUUUUAGACUUUAGCUCCUUAGCUUCAUGUUUCAAUUAUUAAAAAUGUCUCCUUUUCACCAUAUAAUGAGUUAAUAUCAAAUUCGUUAACAAUUAUUUAGUAUGUAAGUGACUCUUAACAUUGCGUGAUCUCAUGAGAAAGUUUUUACUCUCUUAUCGUAAUAUGUAAUCAUGCUGAUAAAAGUAACUUGUAAUAAUUAUGAGUGUGGUGUGGCGGUUGCUCACUUUAUUUUUUAAUCAUGUAGUCAGGGUUUGAGUUCCGCUCAUAGAAAUGGAAUACCUUCCAACGAUGAAUAUCUUAAUUUUGACAAUUAAACAACAUUUAAGAUAGAAUCUUUUCAUUUAUUAGUAGAAUUUAUAUACUAACAGCCAUGCAGCAUUUCAUUUAUGAGUUCAAAUAAAAUCUUAGCAUUGGUGUAAUAUGAGUGUGCUAAUAGGUGAUUUCAAGUUUCAACUGAUUCUAGUACUACUAACAAUGAGGCUCGAGACUGUUCUUAUUCCAUUUCUGAAAUAGUGGGUAGAUCUCUGUUAACCGGCUUCCUAGGUAUGGUGGCACCCAUCGUCUUCGGUGGAUCUGUUGACACAAAAGGAUUUGGGGGCAUUGUAAGAACGUCAAGCUCUCCCUCUAACAUCUGAACCACCACUUUCAUCGAAGGACGAUCAACGGGAUACCACUGAAUGCACCAAAGUCCAACGAUCAUGAGUUUCUUUUCUAUCCCUGUUUGUGCAUCAUCUUCAAUUCGAAUCCCGAACUCCUCUCCUUUAUCCAAACGAUCAUAUGCCCAUUCUGGGAAAUACACUUGGCUUGUAUUCUCGACCAUAACAUCUAUGUUCUUUCUCCCCCCAACCAUUUCAAGCAACAGCAUUCCAAAACUAUAAACAUCAGACUUAUAUGACACAUUUCUGAAGUUGCGAGACAGUACCUCUGGUGCAAUAUAGCCCAUGGUACCUCUUGUUGGCACAUAAUUAAAUUAACCUUGCACAAAUAAAUUAUGAAAAGUUAGAAGAGUGAAGAGACUUGAAUAUGAAUAGUGAAGAGACUUGAAGAUGAAAAGUUAAGAGUCUUGAAUAUGAAAGGAUACACACAUGCAUGAAUAGUCACAACUCCUAGCAUAUAGUGAUUUAGAUGAAUAGUCACUUACAACUCCUAUAUAAAGAGUUGUAUGUAAUGAAGAAUAAUUAACUUGUGUGCUUGAAAUAAAAGCUUAUUUGAAAGAAUUUUUCCAUACAAAAUUUAUUUCUCUUCUCCAUUAUAUUCUUUAUCAUUUUCUUUGUUUUAUUUCUCCAAAUAUUAAUUAUUCAACUACAAAUUGGUAUCAGAGCCUUGUUCGAUCGAAAUGAACAAUUCUAUUCCUCUUUCUUCCGUUCCCCAAUUAACCAAAGAAAAUUAUGGCAAAUGGAGUAUCCAAAUGAAGGCUCUUCUUGGAUCUCUAGAAGUUUGGGAGAUUGUUGAAAAAGGUUAUAAUGAAGUUGAGGCUGAAGAGGAGGAAGGAUUAUCACAAGUUCAAAAAGAGGGUUUAAGAAAAUCAAGGAAAAAAAAUAAACAAGCCUUAUUUUGGAUAUAUCAAGGAGUUCAAUCAAAUGAAGCAGCAUGGGAAAAAAUAGCUUGUGCCACCACGGCAAAACAAGCAUGGGAGGUUUUACAAAAUUCUUUCAAAGGAGAUGAAAAGGUGAAAAGAGUUCGGUUGCAAACUCUUCGAGGGGAGUUUGAAAGAUUGCAAAAAAUAGAGUCGGAAUCAGUUUUUGAUUACUGUUCACGAGUUUUGUCCAUAGUCAACCAAUUGAAAAGAAAUGGUGAAACUAUGGAUGAUAGUCGUGGUGUUGAAAAAAUCCUCCGUUCUUUGGAUUCUAGAUUUGAUUACAUUGUGGUAGCCAUUGAAGAAUCAAAGGACUUGAGUACCAUGACUAUUGAUGAACUCACAGGUUCGUUGCAAGCCCAUGAAGAAAGAUUAAACAAGAAGAAGAAGGAAGUAGAUCUAGAUCAAGCACUCCAGUCAAAGUUGUCUCUAAAUGAGAAGAAAGGAGAAUUUAAAAAUCAAAGAGGGAGAGAUCGUGGAAGAGGAAGAAAUUUUAGAGGAAGAGGCUCAAAUGCUCGUCAAAGAUAUGAAAAUACAAGCACGGAGAAUGGAUGGAAAGAAGCCAGCCAAAGUCAGAAUUUUAGAGGAUCACAAAGAGUACGUGGACGUGGAAAUCAAAGAGGAAGAGGUCGUGGCUAUUUUGAAUGUUAUCAUUGUCGCAAACCUGGUCAUUUGGCAAGUGAAUGCUGGUACAAGAAAGAAGAGAAAAAUGAAGCUAAUAUAGUACAAAAUAAUCAAGAGCAAAAGCAAGAAACUUUGUUGCUCGUGUCUCAUGGUGGAGAGAUUGAUGAUGUCUGGUACAUAGACAGUGGUGCUAGCAAGGCUAUGACAGGUAACAAAAAUUUAUUUUCGAAGUUCUUUGAAUCUGAUUGUGGAGAAGUAAAAGUAGGAGAUGGCAAUGCUUACAAAGUUAGCGGUGUUGGUGAGUUGGAGUUCAAAACAAAGCAAGGAAGGGUAGAGAAAAUGUCUGAAGUUUAUUUUGUUCCCGGACUUAAAAAUAAUCUGCUUAGUGUUGGGCAUCUUUUAAAGAAGGGGUAUGAUAUUCAUUUUCGUGACAUGGCUUGCUAUUUAUCAAGGAAAAAUCAGGUUGUUGCUAGAGUUGGAGUGGCAUCAAAUAAUCUUUUCUCUCUCACCCUUCAAAAUCAGAAUAUGUCUUGUUUUAUUGGUGCUCAUAAAGGAGUUUCAAAGUUAUGGCAUGAUAGAUAUGGACAUUUGAACUAUGGAAAUUUGGAGAUGCUUUCAAAGAAGAUGAUGGUCAGAGGUUUACCAAAAAUCAAUCGACUUGAUGAUAUUUGUGAAGCAUGUCAACUUGGAAAGCAACACAAAAUUACUUUUCCUUCUCAAUCAUCGUGGAAAGCAAGAAGACCAUUGCAACUUAUUCACUCAGAUCUUUGUGGUCCAAUGACAAUUUCAUCUUUGGGAGGUAAUCGUUAUUUUAUCUCUUUCAUUGAUGAUUACUCAAGAAAGUUAUGGGUGUAUUGUGUAAAAGAAAAAUCAGAGGCUUUUCAGAGAUUCAAAGAUUUCAAGGCAGAAGUGGAGAACUUUACUGGGCUAAAAAUUAACACCUUACGGACAGAUCGUGGAGGUGAAUAUUUUUCAAAAGAAUUUGAGAAAUAUUGCCGAGAUAGUGGCAUCCGGCAUGAAAUGACAGUCCGCCAUACACCUCGGCAAAAUGGUGUGUGUGAAAGAAAGAAUAGAACAAUUAUGGAAAUGACUAGAUGUCUUCUUAGGAAGAAGAGGUUAUCAAGAAGAUUUUGGGCUGAAGCUGUUUCUUGUGCAGUUUAUCUUAUAAAUAGAUCACCGACAAGAAGCUUGGAGAAUUGCACACCACAUGAGGCGUGGUAUGGUAUAAAGCCUAGUGUUAGUCAUCUUAGAGUAUUUGGGAGUGUUGCAUACUCUCAUAUUCCAGAUGCAAUGAGAAGCAAGUUGGAUGACAAGUCAGAGAAAUGCAUUUUUAUUGGUUAUAGUGAAAGAAGUAAGGCAUACAAGUUGUACAAUCCGGUGACAAAGAAGAUUGUGAUAAGCCGAGAUGUUCGGUUUGAUGAAAAUUCCAUGUUUGAAGAUAUAGAAGUUGAAAAGGAAAAUUUGCCAAUUUUUCCUUUUGAACUUGAAGAAGAAGAAGAUGCAGUAAUUGAGAAUGCUGAAGAUGAUGCUCAAGUAGGAAAUCCUCCUGCUUCCUCAAGUUCUUCAUCAAAUUCUUCUUCAUCCAGCCCGAUCCGAAAAACGAGAAGCAUCCAAGAGUUAUAUGAUGUAACGGAUGAAGUUGUGCAAAAUGAUGUUGUAUUCUUUGCCUUCUUUGCAGGAGAAGAUCCAAUUUCUUUUGAUGAUGCAUAUCAAGAAGAAAUAUGGAGGAAAGCCAUGAAAGAAGAGAUUUGCUUAAUUGAAAACAAUGAUACAUGGGAACUCACAGAUUUACCGCCGCACAAGAAUUUAAUUGGAGUCAAAUGGGUGUACAAGACAAAGAUGAAUCCGAAUGGCUCUAUCAACAAGUACAAGGCAAGACUGGUUGCAAAAGGAUACAAACAAAAGGAAGGAGAAGAUUUUACAGAGGUAUUUGCUCCAGUUUCAAGACUUGAGACAGUUCGGUUACUUAUUUCUCUUGCUGCCCAAAACAAUUGGAAAAUGUUCCAAAUGGAUGUAAAAUCUGCGUUUUUGAAUGGUGUUCUCAAAGAAUAAGUCUAUGUUGAUCAACCACCAGGGUUUGUCAAAAAAUGAGAAGAAGAAAAAGUUUACAAGUUGAAGAAAGCUUUGUACGGGUUGAAGCAAUCACCCCGAGCUUGGUACAGCCGAAUCGAUUCUUAUUUUCAGAAGUGUGGAUUCCAGAAAUCUCCAUAUGAGCAUACUCUCUACAUCAAAGGCAAUUAUCAAGGAAGAUUCAUGGUUGUUAGUCUCUACGUUGAUGAUCUUAUUUUCACAGGAAAUGAUGUGAAGAUGUUGAAAGAAUUUCAGCACUCAAUGAUGGCAGAAUUUAAGAUGAUAGAUUUGGGAGAACUUCAUCAUUUUCUUGGUAUUGAAGUUCAUCAAUCUAAGAAAGGAAUUUUUAUUUCACAAGAGAGCUACGCAAAGGAAGUUCUAAAAAAGUUCAUGAUGGAAAAUGCGAAUCCAAUCUCUACUCCAUGCAUUACAAGUCUGAAGUUAUCUAAAGAGGGUGAAGGAAAGCUUGUCAAUUCCACCAUAUUCAGAAGUUUGGUUGGGAAGUUGAUGUAUCUGACUUCGACAAGGCCUGACAUCGUGUAUGCUGUUAGUUUGGUGAGUAGAUUCAUGGAGAAACCUUACUCCAAUCACUGGGAGGCUGCUAAGAGAAUAUUGAGAUAUGUGAAGGGAACCAUUGAUUAUGGAAUUUUCUAUAAAGCUAAUACUUAGUUGAUCUCAUUGGUUAUACGGAUAGUGAUUUAGCAGGAAGCAUUGAUGAUAGCAGAAGCACUUCUGGUUAUGUUUUUCACCUUGGGAGUGGUGCAGUUUCAUGGAGUUCAAAGAAACAAUCAAUUGUGGCGCUUUCGACUACAGAAGCUGAAUAUAUCGCUGCAUCUUAUGCAGGAUGUCAAUUGAUUUGGUUACGUGGAAUUUUGGAAAGUCUUAAGCAGAAGCAAAGCAAGUCAACAAUUUUGUUUUGUGACAAUAGUUCUACUAUUUCGGUCACAAAAGAUCCAGUUCUUCAUAGAAGGACAAAACACAUUCGCAUUCGAUAUCACUUCUUGAGGGAACUAGUGAAUAAUGGUGAUGUUCAAGUUGAAUAUUGCAAGACAGAAGAUCAGAUGGCUGAUAUCUUCACAAAGCCUCUAAGUGGACAAGUCUUCAAGAAAAAUGUUGAAAGGUUGGGAGUUCAAAGCAAGUUUAAUUUAAGGGAGGCAUUGUUGGCACAUAAUUAAAUUAACCUUGCACAAAUAAAUUAUGAAAAGUUAGAAGAGUGAAGAGACUUGAAUAUGAAUAGUGAAGAGACUUGAAGAUGAAAAGUUAAGAGGCUUGAAUAUGAAAGGAUACACACAUACAUGAAUAGUCACAACUCCUAGCAUAUAGUGAUAUAGAUGAAUAGUCACUUACAACUCCUAUAUAAAGAGUUGUAUGUGAUGAAGAAUAAUUAACUUGUGUGCUUGAAAUAAAAACUUAUUUGAAAGAAUUUUUCCAUACAAAAUUUAUUUCUCUUCUCCAUUAUAUUCUUUAUCAUUUUCUUUGUUUUAUUUCUCCAAAUAUUAAUUAUUCAACUACACCUCUAGCUGUUGUCAUUGAAAUAGCACUUUGUUCCUUGGAACACAAUUUAGCAAGGCCGAAAUCAGAGAUCUUAGGAUUGAAGUUGUGAUCAAGCAAAAUAUUGUGAGGUUUGAUGUCGAAAUGGAGGAUACGUUGCUCGCAACCUUGAUGCAGGUACUCGAUGCCUUUGGCUACACCGACAGCAAUAUCCUGAAGUUUUUCCCAACUAAG
This 70536-nucleotide long non-coding RNA is filed under the name Gossypium barbadense (sea-island cotton). Its description in RNAcentral is "long non-coding RNA (GBAR_LNC015215)". The record is from RNAcentral. Lineage: Eukaryota; Viridiplantae; Streptophyta; Magnoliopsida; Malvales; Malvaceae.